This 86218-nucleotide long non-coding RNA is filed under the name Ananas comosus (pineapple). RNAcentral describes it as "long non-coding RNA (ACOM_LNC033967)". The stretch from base 85817 to 85977 matches the Rfam family "U1 spliceosomal RNA". The record is from RNAcentral. Lineage: Eukaryota; Viridiplantae; Streptophyta; Magnoliopsida; Poales; Bromeliaceae.
GACUAGCGACUACUCUUCCCACUCGCCAGCAUGUAUAAGAUGGGUGGGGAGUGGACCGUAUAUCCAUACUUACCUGGACGGGGUCUAUGGGCGAUCAGAAAGGUCCAUGGCCUGGGCCCGCGGCCCACAUUGCACUUUGUGGGUGCGCUGGCCUACCAUCUCCCCAAGAGGGAGAGUGGACGUCAUAAUUUGUGGUAGAAGGGGGUACGCGCAACGCGCGGCCCCUGCCAAUUUAAAAUAUUUAAAUUUUGAAAAAAAAUUCACUUGCCAUUUUAAAAUAUUUAAAUUUUGAAAAGAAAUUUAUCUUAAAAAGUACUUUGAAUUUAAAGUAACGGUCAAAAUUUUUUAAUAUAUUUUAUUGAGUUACUAUGUUUUGAGUAGUGAGAUUUUUAACCCAGCUUAUAUAUGACUAUGGAUUUAAAAUGCCACAUUUAAUUAGCUAUAAAAUUAAUUUGCAACUAAUCAUAUUUUAAAAAAGAUUGUAGGUCGCAAGAUGAGGACAAUAAAGAUUAAUGAAAUGAUUAUAGUGGUAAUAAUCGAAGUAUUGGUUCCUCAGAUUACUUGAAACGCGUAAUAGCACCGCCGUGGCCCAUAUCCUCGGGGUUCACCGGCCCAUGACCGGCCCAGUUAAACUCUGGCCCAGUUCUUCAAACCGAUUGGUUGGACCCACUAACACGGAAUAUUAUGUCCUCAUCCUGGUCCAUAAGGUCAGAUUUGGACCGGGCCCAUGCUCCCAUCCUUAACCGUAACAAUGGCAGGUGGUUCACGGGUGAGGUGUUGGGUUCGGGUCACGAAAUUGACAAAUGCGGGCCCCGCUUGUCCGUUACGGCCUUAAAACCGUUACACAAAUUACCACCCUCAGAUCACCAAUCAUCAAACGCCAUCAUAACGAUCCCACACAGAUACUCACGUGGCAACAGCUCGGCCGUUGCUGGGACAGUUUUAUUCCCAGAUGGAGAAACACCGAAGUGUUACAUCGGAGAUUUUUUUUUUUUUUUUUUGCGCUUCUUUUCCGCGCUUUUGGAAAAAGAGGCGGAAUUAGUGUGGGAGUGGAUGUGUGCACGAGGAAACCCCUCCAUUUAUUAUCCUCUCCCUCCUCCUCGACGUCCUCGUCCUCUCCCCUCUCCUCUCUCCUCUUUUGCUUCUAUGACGAGUAAUCCCCGAUAGGUGGUAUUCCAUCUAGGGUUUCACUCCGAUCUCCAAGCUCGUUUCCUUUCCAAUGGCGAUGGGGGCCGUGCUCUCCAGUAGAAGCUUCGUUUCUCCUCUCGUCUCAGGUUUGGUCUCAAACCAUCCGUCUCUUCGUGUUUCGGUUUGAAGCGUAGGAAAGUUCAAAUAUCGUGUCCUUUAUGGUGUUAUGCGUUGAGAUGUGUAGUAGGAUUAUUGGGUCACGUAUGGAUGCUGGUGUCCAGUAAAUGAGGGCCUAAUUAGUAACUUUAAUUGGUUGAGUUAAUUGGGAGAAAGUCGAAUUGAUUUGAUUUUGCUUGCAUCUACUGAUAAAUUUCGUGCCUCGAAUUAGUUAGGAUGGUAAUUUUUUAUUGCAGUAGUUGUGAAAUUUGAAGCUUGGUUCAUGUUAACCCUGUAUGACCUUUUCAGAAGAGGAGGCUUUUCGUGCUUAUGCGAAGCUAGUAAUUAGCCAUCAUUUUUAAAUUGGUGACAGCUAACGGGUUGAACUUGUGAAGAAGCUCCCCCUUAAAGAAUUGACUAAGUUUUUCAAUUAGCUUUUGGCAAGUUGGUGUCAGAUUGUGGUAGGAAAAGCUGCAUUAGGGAGAGAGGGCUUGCUAUAAAGAUUUAAAAAUUUGUCCCCAUCUUUCAGGCACUAAAAAGCCCAAUCCAAAUAAAGUUUUUUUAACAGCAUUCAGAAACAGCAGUUUGUUUUGGCAAAAAUCGACGGUAGUUGACUUUAUAAAUUUUGUUUUGAUUCGUGACCAUUCUCAGAGCGAAGUACUUGGCCAUCACCAAAAACCAAAUAAGUGGGUCAACUUGCUCACAAUUAUUAAAGAUUAAAUGCUAUUAUCCAUGUCCUACAUAUGUUCUGCAAUUGAUGCCUCAUGCUUGGAGAUGUCAACUUGACGUUUUUGAAGGUUUGGGACUCGUGGUGACUAGUCUGGAUGCGUAAAGUGCUAAUCAAACUUAUGGUCUGGCUAUUUCUAGUCAGUUUGGCAUUCAUAACAUGUGUGCAUGUUCGGUUCAAGCAUGCUAGUUACAUGAUAUUGCAUCUCUCUUUCCUGGUUAAUGUAUUAUACUGAUUUGUAGAAUUUUACUUUCUUAUUUCAAUCUUUUAUCAUGUGAGCACAGCUGUUAUCAAAAUUAAACAACUCGCGUUACUUAAAGGCAUUAGCUCGAAUGAUGAGAUUUUAUGAUUUGUAAUGGAGGACAUGUCACUUGGAUUCUAGCAAAGUUCAUAAACUUGAAGGUAUCUAUGCAGGAAAAGAGUAUCGCUUGAAACGGACUACUGCACAUGAUAGAAAAGCACAUUCCCCAUCUUCUGCAGAGCAAUUUGUGUGGGGUGGGAUUUAUAUCUUGUCUGCUCGAAGAGAAGACUCCUAUAUUGCUAGGAGUUCCUUCUUCCCAAGUCGUAUAUCUUGUACUUUAGGCAACACUAUCAUGAUGAAGAGACUUGUAUCACUUGGCGAGCUACGAUACCCUCUAUCAAAUUCUUUAGGGAAUGGAUCUACUGGAAAGAUGCCUAAUAUCAAUUUCAAGAGAAGACUUCGGGCAAGAACAGAAUGCUUUAUUUCUUCAGAUCCGACAAAUAAUAGUUGGAUACAACAAGGAAAGUUGAACAAUAUUGGCAGAUACCGGUUGGCAAUUAGAACUCGUGCCGACUUCAAAUCAGAGCAGUAUGAAAUAACAGGACCACAACCUGAGUCAUUUAGUUCUUCAGAAGCAUCAAGUGAAGCAGUUUUACCUGGAGGAAAUGUGAGGGAUGUAUCUAGAUGGUGGGAGCAGUUUCCUAAACGUUGGUUGAUCGUGCUCUUAUGUUUUUUUGCAUUCCUGCUCUGCAAUAUGGAUCGUGUAAGUUUGUUAUUGUAUACCAUACACUUGUUGACAAUACCAGUAGUCGUAACUUCAAAAGAAGAUCCAUUUGGCAGCCUUUUAUGUAGAUUGCCGCAGUCUUUGAUAGUUUCUUCUUUUCUUUUUCUGAAGCUGGUCAAGUGUGGUGCAGGUAAAUAUGAGCAUUGCAAUCCUUCCAAUGUCGGCAGAGUUUAAUUGGAAUCCAGCAACUGUUGGCUUAAUUCAAUCAUCUUUCUUUUGGGGCUAUCUUCUUACUCAGGUCUAUCUUCAUUCCUUCCUUUCCUUUUUUCUCUCAUACAGAUGAAAAAUACGUAGGCACGCACACCCUUUUACUGGGGAUUGACAGACACUUGAUCGUCCUCGAUUUUCAAGAAUUAUGUCUGCUUCCAGUAAGGUUGUAGUGAGGGGGCACAUAAAACAUAGAGAAUGAUCAUAUUCUGAUCACUUAUAGUCUGUUACAAACUUUCAGGACAGUAAAUUUUUUUUUUAUUGAGCAAUUUUUUGCUGAAUAUUUUGUCUUCAAUUCUAAGACUAAUCACAUGAAUUAACCAUUUUUUUUUCUUCCAUCAAUGCUUUCAAUUCUUUGUACCUGGUAGUUCUUACCUAAGGUGUAUUUUCUGAAAUUUUUGAGAAAAGGUAGGGGCAAAGAGCCUCUGCCCAGUUCAUACCUAAUGUGUAUUGUACUGCCAUGGACAUCCCUUUUUACAUUGUUGGGUUUCUGGUGUCGACAGAUCGUCGGAGGUAUUUGGGCCGACAAGAUUGGCGGCAAGGUAGUGUUGGGCUUUGGAGUUGUAUGGUGGUCAAUCGCGACAAUACUUACCCCACUGGCUGCCAAGAUAGGCCUUCCCUUUCUACUUAUUAUGCGUGCUUUUAUGGGGAUUGGUGAGGUUGGUUUCUUCUUUCACCUUGACCUUUUGAUUGUUACACCUAGAGGACAAUCAUUUUAGGACCUGUCAGAAAGUUGAAGGGGAUAAUGCUGUUCUCAGUUUGUUGACUUGUCCUCUCUGAUAUUUGAUACCUGUCAGAUCAUUUUAUAAGUAUCUUUAUAAUGUAAUGUCAUUUGUAGUUGACGCAGCUGCUCUUUUCUUGGAUUAUAAAAUUUUCUGCUCUUCAUUUUGAUGCCUAUGUAUAAUAUAUCAACGAGGCAAUUUAUUUCCUUGCAGGGUGUUGCUAUGCCUGCUAUGAAUAACAUACUCUCCAAAUGGAUUCCAGUUUCAGAAAGGAGCAGAUCGCUUGCAUUAGUCUAUAGCGGGAUGUACCUUGGUUCUGUCACAGGACUGGCAUUGUCACCAAUUCUAAUCCACAGAUUUGGAUGGUCUUCUGUUUUUUAUGCAUUUGGGUCCCUUGGAAGUAUCUGGUUUGCUCUGUGGCAAUUAAAAGUAAGCCAUGAUUUUUAUUUGCUUCUGACCUUCUGAUAACUCAUAAUCUAGCAAUCUGCCGACUUUCUAUCCAUUAUGCAUUUCGAGUCCCUCAAAUGUUUCUGGUUCUUAUUUGGCCAGUUGAAGUAGGGCUUUAAUUUAUUUUACACUUAUUAAUUUGAUUUCUCUUUAGGCGCACAGCUCUCCACAAGAAGAUCCAGAGCUUAGUUCAGUUGAAAAACAGCUCAUCUUAGGGGGAAAUGUGCUGAAAGAACCUGUUACCUCUAUACCAUGGAGACUAAUUCUAUCGAAGGCUCCAGUGUGGGCCCUCAUAAUAUCACACUUUUGUCAUAACUGGGGCACUUUUAUCCUUUUAACAUGGAUGCCCACAUAUUACAAUCAGGUGAUUGCUAUUUCAUGGUUCUGGAUGUUUGUGUUGUUUCUUUAUCAAACUCAUAGGGAGUGUUUAACAGAAAACAUUGUCUCCCUUACUCUUGAUGCUUGUCAAUAACUAUAAAAUUAUCUUUUUCUUAGUAUUGUAUAUAACUAAUAAUUGCAAAAGUCAAUGUUCAAUUGAUUGUACUCAGGUGUUGAAGUUUAAUCUUACGGAAUCUGGGCUAUUCUGUGUGUUACCAUGGUUAACCAUGGCUGUCUUUGCGAACAUAGGAGGGUGGAUUGCAGACACAUUAGUUGCAAAAGGACUUUCAAUAACAACUGUUCGUAAAGUAAGUUUUUUAUGCUAUCGAAUUUUUAUCUUAUGCAGACAAUGGUGGUAGUGCUUGAUCUCAUUUUAUAUAUUAUUGAAUGGUCCUUUUGUCCCAGCAAACUAAAUUUUUUUUAGGUGUGUACAAGCUCAUCUUUGUGCAAACUGUUGUGUAAUGCUUGAAAUGAUUUUGCCAUACAAGUUACUUAAAAUUUUACCCACCCAUUCGUUUUCACUCUUCAGACAUAAAAUAGCAUACUUCUGAUUGUAAAGUUCACUUUGGAUCGUCAAUCAUCAUUCCUUGAUAUCUGGAAUUUCUUAAUAUUUCAUUAUCUACUUUAUCUAUCUAGGAGAAUACUGCGAUCAAAACAGCUGCAAGUGUGAAUUUCUGGUGCUGAGGUUGAUUUUAAUUUGCUGCCUCAUUGCAGAUAAUGCAAUCAAUUGGCUUUCUUGGUCCAGCUUUCUUCUUGACACUGCUCAGCCAUGUCCGUACACCAGCUUUGGCUGUGCUUUGUAUGGCAUGCAGUCAGGUUUGAUUUGCUUAAUAGCUUUCUUAUAAAAAAAAAUUAUUUGCUAUUUGUUGAGAUUUUAUAUAAUGCCUGGCAUUGUUGCUGUUUCGUUUUAUGAAGUCCUCAUUUCUCUUUCCUCAGUUCUUCUUGAAUGAUCCAUUUUCUUUCAAAGAGCAAAGUUUCUUUUAGGGAACUGUAUUUGAAUCAAGUUAUUUGACUUGAUAUUAUUUACUUAUAGCCGGUGCAUUCUUGAUAUUAUUUGGUUGGUUUUUAAGGCAAAGUUUUCUUUUUUCUUUUCCAGGGCAGUGAUGCAUUUUCACAAUCUGGUCUUUAUUCCAAUCACCAGGAUAUAGGACCGCGUUAUGCAGUAUGUUCUUUCCAUUCGUUUUUGGUGCUGUCGUGCUAACGCUUACUGGCAAAAGGAUAUAAUAUUAGUCACAUGAAUAAAGGCUAUAAUAGUCAUGCUAAUGCUUGCUUCUUGAGUUCAUACAACUGAUAGUCAUUAUUAGCCGCACGUCAAGUAAAAAUGCGACGCGGUCUCUUCUGAUGCUCUUAACUGUUCUGAAUUGUCUACUUUGUAUAUAGUCAAUUGCCAAUAUAAUGAUGUGCUAGCACAUAUGAAAAACAAUUUGAUGUUUUGUAGAUUUAUAGGAAGUUUCUCGCUUAUGCCUUUCGACAAAGAAAGAGAUCUUCUUUCUUCUGCUCAUCCUUCUAAUGUAGUUGUAUCCUAAAAUGGAUAUGUUUUGAAAAUUAACAGGGAGUGCUACUAGGGUUAUCGAACACUGCUGGGGUGCUUGCAGGAGUUUUUGGCACUGCCGCGACCGGCUAUAUCCUACAAAAAGGCAAGGAAAUAGCAAAACCGAUACACAAUCUCAUUUUAAACUUAUUUAAUUUAACACUAGUUUACACAACACUUGCAUCUUUAUACUAAUAUUAUCUUUUCUUCACACCAUAUGAAUUCUACAGGCUCAUGGGAUGAUGUAUUUAAGGUGGCUGUUGCCCUCUAUAUCAUAGGCGCAUUGGUGUGGAAUAUCUUUUCAACUGGAGAGAAAGUUCUCGACUAAAACAGAAGCAAGCAGUAAAUGCUGCUAUACCAAAUCAAAGGUUUUGCUAACAUUUACAUGUGCAAAUACAAGAAUGUUGAUCAUCUUCAGCGACAAACCCUUGACAAAUUUGACUUUCGCAUUUGAAAACGAAGAGAUGUGAUGUCACAACAGCUAGAUGGCAUGGCAUGAGUAAAAUGGCAUAGUCGCAAAUAAGUAAUUGUUGCAAAAACCUAUUGCAGCUAUGAGAUGCUGCUCUCUAUGAAUGUUUUCAGCGAGUCGUCUUCUUUUUUUGCGGUUGAGGGGGUGCAAAAAAUAUACCAACCUCUGAGUUUCUAUUUUCGUUGUUUGUAAAUUUUAAAUACUCGGCCAUGCAUCUUGGCUCUAACUUGAGUUGUGAGAACAAGUCAUAGCCAUAUGCAUGUGUACUUGACAGCAUAAAGCUUCAAGAGAGUUUUAGGCCUGGGAAGCUUAAAUUAUUUUUAUGUAAUCUUUGAAGAUUUUAAUGACAGUUAAAUUUUUCAUAUCAUCUUCUAUGCAGCAGAGGGGUUAUGUUCUGUACCCUUCUGCUCAAAUUUAUGCUUAACAUGAACAGAAGCAUCACACUUUCUUUUCAUUCCUUUGUACAGUUAGAUGAGAUUGUAUCUGCAGCUAGUUAUAAUCUUCAAUUAUUCGACUUACAUUUUCAGGUGAUAGGCCUUUAAUGUGAUGCAGACGAUACCUGCGCGAACCAGAGAGCAAUUUUGGGCCUAUCCUGUUAAGGCCCAAAGUGACUUUUCUGGUUCGAAAACCUCACACGAAUAAAUUUGGGCCCAAUAGGCCUUCUCUGGUGCCCUGCUCAAUUUAGCCCCGUUAGCUAACACCCUUUACACAGUUGCAAUCUACAAAAAGCUCCGGUUCAAAAGUCGCGAUCAAGCCUCAGUUAUGCAAAUUUGAAUCAAAUAGAAGAAAAUAAAGAUAUGGAGUUCGGAGUCCGGAAAGACUUGAAACUGAUCAGAACAUCUCUCUUGUAUGCUGAAAGCUAAAAGUGUGAUAAUUUAUGUAAACAUUUUACUAUCAGGAAACUACACACACACACACACACAAAUCCUAACAUGAGAAAAAUAAAUGUAGUGUCACGCUCCAGAAACUUUAGAGGGGAAAUUAAUGAACGGAGAGAUAGCGCCAGAUGCCCAUAACAUGACUUGGGGUGAUGAUGAUGCUACAAGAUAGGGAAGUGGAUAUCUAUAGGUGGAUUCGAGGCAUUAAAAAUUGUGCAAACUUAGCCUCACAUUAUUGGUUGGGUGAUGAUGUAUUGAUGCUAACACAAUACAACGAACGAGGUGCAUAGGACAAAAGGGCAUCUCAAGGAGCAUUACUGUACACACAAACACCCGGGCCCACGGUUUGGACCCACUUUGCUUUUUAUGGCAAUUGACUAGGUUCGAUUCUUGGGUCACUUAGUCUAACCAUAACUGUUGUAGGGAACCUCAAAAGACCCCAUAUGUAUAUAUAUAUAUAUAUAUAUAUAUAUAUAUAUAUAUAUGUGCAAUUUUCUAUAUAUAACCAAUUCAUUAUCUCCAACAUGGAAUAUUAGAUUUCGAUUCUAUAAAAUCUAUUGCUGUAGGAAAAUCCAUUUUAAUACAUUUUUAUUCUAUUUUUCUUUUUCAAUACUGGUUUCUGCACGAAGCAUAAUUUGAAUUUGAAUUUUUUAGACCAGAGUGGAUGCCAGUAGUAAUUAAGUUCUGAUCUUCACAGUUGGUGGUUGCAUUCGAUAUCAUUUUGGACUUAGGAACGGAUGUGUCUUAAUCCUAACGCAGCGAUCAACUCAUGUCGGCAAAGAUAAAAUUUAUGCGACGGUGUGCAGCUUUUGGGAGGAGGGGGGGGAGGGAGUCUAUCAUGAGACAAAUUAAGCAGCAUUUAUUUGUGUAUGAUAAAACAUUUCUUAUUCGGCCUUUUAUAGCUGCUGAUAUGUUGGCUAUAUUGUAUAAAUUAAUUAUUGCAUAUCAUUUGAUUGUUAGCACAUGUCAUUAGUAGCUAGGAUCUUAGGGGUUCUAUCAUGAGACAAAUUAAGCAGCAUUUAAUUGUGUAUGAUAAAGACAUUUCUUAUUCGGCUUUUUUAUAGCUGCUGAUAUGUUGGCUUUAUUGUAUAAAUUAAUUAUUGCAUACAAUUUGAUUGUUAGCACAUGUUAUUAGCAAGGAUCCUUGCUAGCUAUGUGGCACUAUUGUCUCCGCCAUUUUUGUAGGCAUAUAUCAUUUCAUAAGAUAUUUAUUUAUUUAUUUGAGAAAACAUAUAUAGUAUGCUAUCUAUUUUAUUUUUUAAAAAUAAAUUUAGCUAAAAAAAUAUAACAGUUCGUUAGGCUUCGAACUUGAGAUCUUAGAUACCAAUCAUCAAAUUUUUUAUCACUUAUAUUAUAAAUAGUCAGUGCAAAUAUUCAUUAAUUAAUCAAUCUUUUAAUUAGUGAGGUCGAAAUAUAUAUCACUACAACAAAAACGGUCUAUAGCGACACUUUUAAAUAUAGGUACAUGUCAAAAAAGUGCUGCUAGCUAAAAUUACCGACACUUUUAAAAAGUGUUGCUAUAUGUGGGGUCGCUAGGUAUAUAGUGACAGUUAAAGAAUGUCGCUAUAACCUAAAAGAGUGCUGCUAAUUUACCAACACUUAUUUAAGCAUUUAACAACCGCCGAAACUCUAUCUCGUUGGCUGCGGUGGCCGAGGAGGACGACAGAAAAGGCUCUUCGUCUAGAAUUUCAGUAGAUUGAGUGAAGAGAGAAGAAAAGAUGGCAAUUGAUUUUUCUUUUUUUUUUUUUCUUUUCUGUUUGUAAUCGGGCCAAAUGGACUGGGUGUGAUGGGUUGAGUAGAGUAAUCUUUUAUUUUUGGUUGGAUUGGGCUUUAUAUUUAGGCAUUAGCAAAUAUUUUUUUAAAUUUUAACAUAAAUGAAAUACUUACUCAAAAGUGUCCCAAACAUAUGUCCCUAUAACUUAAUUGUGUUGUAGUAUAUGUUACCAAAUCAACAUGGGCAUGUAGGUUUCGUCACCAAACGUGAUAUGGAUGACACAACUUAAUUUGAGACUCCUCAUUGUCCGAUUACCAAAGAGUAUGAAACACAUGGGGUUUGGUGCACUCCAGAUUUCAUCUAAUAGUUACAUGCACCAACAUAUAUAGAAAUUAACAUAAAAAAUAUUAUUAAUGUGACAAGUUGUUAGUCCAAAAAGACCAUAUAUAUUUUAUUUAUUUACAUAAUAUGCAACAUCAACAACGUAUGGGACGAAUUAGCAACCAAAUCACAUGGCGACAUAAAAUCACCUAAAAUUGUAUCUCAAGUGAAUGAAAUGGUAGAAAAUAUUACUCUCAAUUUUGUACGCACGCAAAUGGAUGCAUGUGUACGUUUGAUCGACAUCCUACAUGCUAAGAGUGUUACAUAGAAUAUUUUUCACAUGUGAAAAAUUUAGUUCUAAGCCACAAAAUUGUACUCUCCCACGAUUCUGUAGAGUACCUCAAUUGCUAAUUUUUAAUGUCUUUUAUAUUUAUUAUACAUAUAAAGCGUAAGUUUUAAACAUUAAUAAAAAAAAAAUCUCAUUAGUAGGCUCGGUAAGAGGUUAAGAGGAAAAUUUUAAUUAUUACUAGUGCUACUAUUAUUGUUAUAUAUUAUUAUUUAAAUUAUACUAUAGUUUUCAAAGAUAUAUAUAUAGUUCGUACAGUGACGUACUAAAACCAAACGUAUAUAGUUUGUAUUAAUCAAUGCAUUAAAAUACGAUCAACGGUUGGCGAGUGGCGACUGAGAUAGCUCAGCUAUUUAUAUGCGUUCAUUUAUUAAUCGGUGUAUAUGGAGCUGUGGCGCGCAACACCAAAACAAAAAGCAGUUGUGGGCCCAUCAGAUGACGUGGCACCUGUAGAUGCGUUGGAUUUGGGACAUGACAGUCACAUCGAAGUGCUUUUCACUUUCCCCUUUUUUUUUUUUUUUUUUUAAACUAGAUUUGGUGGGCCCCAGUGAUGUGUUAUGUGUAUAUAUUUAUGUUUGUGCAGCUCAGAAGCAGCUGUAGCAGCAAGCGGUUUUCGUAAAUACCGGGUUUUUUGGAAAAGCGGUUUUCUAAAGCUGUUUUGGGUUUAUCUAGUCGUAAUUUGACCUAGAAUUUAGAAUACAAAAUUGGGUUUCAUCACUAACUUUUAAGUUUGUUUAGUUUAAUUAAUUUGAUGGAUCUUUUAUAGUCAACAAUUAUGAUGCAUUAUUUGCUUCAGCAAAGUUGACUGUAGUUUUUUAUGAUUCACGCACACUCGAAUUUUAAAGCAGAAAAGCGGUCUAAUGUCGAAAAUUAAAAGAACGAAAAGAUUAGAUGGUAAAUAACAAAUUCUAUAAAUUACAAAUUGAUGCGCCACAUUUCAAAUUAAUUUUAGCUACUGUGAAGGCAAAUUCUCUCAACUAAUGAAAUUUUUUUCAAUUGUUUUCAUUUUACGUUAUUUCUCAAAAAAUUUUAAAACUUUUCAACUCAAUUCGAAACUCAAUUGAUUCAAGUCAACACCAAAAGUAUCAUGGAGAAAGCUUUCUCCUUUUUAAGGGGUGGGAUAUGUACAUGCAUGUUGCCUUUGUGAAUUGUGAUGUGACAAAUUCUCUCAAGCUAGACUCCUAUAGAAUCUUUUCGUAUACGCUAAGUCCUAACCCAUGCAUGCACCCACUUGCAAAAUGUAGCAAUUAAUCUUGAAUUUAAAGAAGAGUCUUUUUAAAAAAGAAAUUUUGAAGAGUGAUUGCCUAGGCUUCACCAUGAUCGAGGCCCUAGGCAAAAAUUACCUAGAGGAAUAAGAUGCACCAAGCUCUUGCGACUCCAAAACGAUCCUCGAAGAUGUGAAUUCGAAACAAUAUUCCAAAUUUAUCCAGGACAAGUGCAAAUGAAUCUGAAUAUUUGUGACUUUCUAAUCGAACAUGCAACAUGCUGUCGAAGAAUUAUUGGUACGACAAUUGCGUUUGGCUCGACAUGGGCACGACAAUUUUAGGACAAUUUUUGUAGCAUCUAGUGUCUCAUAGGUGAUAUCCGCCGAGUACGAAAGUGAGGCCCACAAAAAGGAAGGAUCUUUUACCAAUCAAUGCCGCAACACAAAACAAAUAAGUAAAUAAAAAUACAAAAGACACUACAAGAUCUUCCAAAAGAUUAAGUCCCGAAAAAAAAGUAAGUGGCCAACAACAUUGAUAGAUAAAAGAGCUUAUUGAUGCGAAGGCUUGUUGAAUUUGUUGCUCAAAAUGAAGGUCGAUCGAUAUUGUGCAAUUUCCUUUAUUCCCAAAUCUUUUGAGUGGAGGGAUUAAGAACGAAGUGGGGCAUCAUCAACUCUAGAUCCAAUUUAAUCUCGCGUCAUACUAGAUAACAUUCCCUUUGCCCUCACUUUAUUUUAUUUUAUUUUAUUUUUUCUCUUUAGUUCAUGAUAGCAUAUAUAUAUAUAUAUUGGAGAGAUCCCUACGUAAAAAUUUUAAAAUAAAUAAACAUAGUGUACAACAAAAUGUAGGUGCCACAACUUUCUAUAGUACGCAUCUUGCUCUACUAUUCUUUUUAGGCUUUAUUUGGAUGCCCGAAUAAGUUAUUCGGUAUGAAAAUAAUUUUUUGUGUAAUUAGAGGUAAAAAUUUGAUUUUUUUUGCUUUAUAUAUGUAUAGGCAUUUGUAACUUAAUAGGAUAGAAUAUUUUAUAUACAAAAUAAUUUAUCUUAUUUAAAAAAAUAAUUUGAAGGCCGAAUAUAAUUUGAGAUAUACAUAUAUAUAUAUGUUUGACCACACUCCUAACUUUCAAUUGUAAUAAAAGAUGUUCAUAUCAAAUUAAUAAAAUAUCACUGAGUGACUUAUUUUGAUAUUCAAACAGAGCUUAAGUUUAGAGUUAUGACACUAUAUAUAUUUUUCGCAUGCAUGGGAAAAUGAUAUCUCAUAGAUGAAAUUUCUUUCGCACGGAAGAAAAGGACCACCCUAAUUAAGUAGAGAGCUGUAGUUUGAAAAUGUCAAUUAUACUUUUCAGAAGGGUUAUGUCAUAAAUAGUUUAGAGAAAUAUUUAAUAAUCCAGUUAGGAUUUUCGCCAGAAAAGUUCUAAUUUAUUUUAAAAAAUAAGAGUGUUUUCUAACUGAAUUCUCGUAGUAUCUUAUACCCUAUAUUAUAUAUAAAUAUAUAUAUAGAGGGGACUACUUACUCUGAGACCUAUAUAGGGUUUGAGAAUAUGUCUCAACGAUAAAAGGAAACAUCUCUUGUUAAUUUUGUUCAAAAACUCCACAAAAUUUUGAUGGAGCAAGUUAUUUCUUGUUAAAGUAGAAUUUUUUGGAAUGAUGAACACACUAGUUAUGUUCAUAUGUAUAUAGUUAAUAUUAUGAUAUUGAAAAGCAAUAGUAGUUUAAACAGCGUCUAUGUAUUAUAAUAAAGUGCAAUAUAUAUAUAUAGAGAGAGAGAGAGAGAGAGAGAGAGAGAGAGAGAGAGAGAGUUUUGCUAGAAUACUGUCGGUAGUAAACAGCUCGGUUUACUACUGAUUUGUUUUUGAUGAUGGAGCUUCCAAAUUGAUGAUCGGCACCGUUAAACAUGAUCUAAACUAUUUAAACUAUUUGAAAAUCCAAUUUCACACAUUUUCGAUAUUGUUCUCUUGUCCAUCAAGUAAACAGAAAAAUAAAUGACUGGAAAUGAAUAUCCUUCAAAAAGUGAUAAUACAAUUUUUAUAUUUGAGAUCUAGAGUCUAGAUCUUAUUUUAAAUAAUUUAAAGAAUUUUUAACAAAAAUUUAGUUGAUUUGAACUCUUCUAUACCGUUAAACGAGCAAACGCACCAUAUCGGCCAUUAAAAUUAUAGAUUUUGUGACCCUUUGAUCGUUCAGUUAGUGAUGUCAAAAAAUCAUGAAAUUUGAUUUCUAGAUAAUUUAAAUGGUUUAGAUCAUGUUCAACGGUGCCGAUCGUCGAUUUGGAAGCUUUAUCAUAAAAAACAAAUCGGUAGUAAAUCGAGCAGUUUACUACCGAUAGUAGUCCAGUCAAACUCUCUCUCUCUACAUAUAUAUAUAUAUAUAUAUAUAUAUAUAUAUAUGAGUCCGGUUGGGAUACUAUCGAUAGCAUGAAGUAUUUGGUGCUAUCAAGUUUUCUACCGUUAGAUUUACCUCUUUUAUCAUUUUCAUCCGUUCGAUUAUACUAUUUAACCAACCACCCACUCAACCCUAGUGGGCCCACAUUAUCCUAACCGCACAUCUUUUAAUCUAAGGGCAGAAAACUUAAUAGCACUAAAUCAUUGGUGCUAUUAAUAGUAUUCCAGCCUAGUUCUAUAUAUAUAUAUAUAUAUAUAUAUCACUACUAUUCUAAUGGAUUUUAUGCAAGUCUAAUAAGCAUCCAUUCUCCUAAAAGCAUCUUAUUAAAUAUAAUAAUAUUCUUUAUUAUGAACCACCAUAUGAUCUAGAGUUGUAAGAUACGUAGGAAUUUUCGCCUUAUGUCCAACACAAGUGGAGAGAACUCUUUAUAGUGAAUGUUUAAAUAGAGACUUCUUAAUGUUUUGUGUUCUUUUUAUACAAAUCUAAAUUCGGUGUUUGAUUUUAUAUGUUGAAUUCAACUUCUUAGAAAUGUAUGAGGAGACUCAACUAUAGAAACUGUAACUACGCCUAAAUUGGCGGCUGUUCUAGUUGAAAAGAAUAACUUGAAACAAAAUGUUAGCUUACUUUCCUAAUAACUUUUUAAAUAAAUGAAUAUAUUUUUUUCUCUACAUUGUAAAUAAUCAUACCACAUAAAAUGAUAAAAUUAAAUUGCACUUUUAAUUAUAUGUAACCAAAUAAAUUAUUUAUAUUUGCAGUGUUUCUACUACAUUCAACCAAAUAAAAUAUAUAUAAUUAUAAUUACUAUAUUUUUAACUAUAUGCAUUUAUAAUUAUAUUGUAUUGCUUAUUAUAUCCAACCAAACAGUAACAAUAUAGAGGAAAAAUUCUGUAUUGCGGUCCAUAUACUGGUAUUCCCAAAACUCAAACCUAGAUAUUAAAAUAUACAUAUGUUGCUCAACACAUAGUAAAAGAGUUCUAAAAAUUAUUAUUUAUUUUUUAAAAAAAUUAAAAUGUUGCAGAUCAUAUUUUACUUUUUAUCUUUAAUUUAUGGUCUCUUUAAUAUUUAUGGUGUCUAUGCUCGGGUCUUUGAGAUCCUCGUGUAUAGACCUUGUUGCAUCGAGCAAGUUCUUCAACGAUAAGAGUCAAAUUAGGAAACUUAUCAAGACCGUUGAGCGAUAAAUGGUUUAGGUUUGGAAUAGUCUCCAAUGUGAGACAGCGUGAUCAGACAUUUAUACAACUUUAAUUUUCGAGCAAUGACAUGAUAGAUUAUAAAUCACGCAAUCUUGCAUUAUGAAUUUUAUUGUCAUUAAGUUUUUGUACAAGGACACCUGAUUGACAUGUUAACCGCACACGUGGUAUAUAGUAAGGUUUUUCUUUUUUUCUUUUUCGACGGAGAUCAAGAGACGGGAAAUGUUAAAUGCAACUCAAUUUUUUUAGGAAUUCUAUAUUAUCACACUUGCAUUAUGUUAUUAAUAACAAAUCAAUCAUAUUUUUUUCUUUUCAAAUAAAAGUACAAUAAAAAUAUUUUUUUACAAUCAUGAUGGGACAUAUACUUCUAAAAAGAGACAUUUGAUUGGUUUGUUACGUUCUGUCGCCAAUAUAACUGUUGCAUUCUAGAUUUUUUUCUUUUUUUAUUUAUUUUUUUUUGUGUGGCUGUGGAGAGCUGAUUAGGUUCCCUCAUUCAAUUGAAGUUCGUACAUAAAAAAUUACAUAUGUUGACUCUGUCUCUUAAGAAAAAAACUUGAAAGGGCUAUUUUAUAUAUUCCCCAUAAUGUGGUUUCUAUAUAUCUACACUUUUCAUUUUUCCGGAAAAAAAGACAAAAAAAAAAACCUUAUGAGUUUAACCUGAUAGAAAUAAAUAACUUGCACCUUAUGUACGGAUUAGUUUUUUUUUAAUCAAAUUUAAGCCUAUCACACCAAGCCGAAUUAAGGUUCAAAUUUUUUAUGUUUAAUUUUAAUAUUAAUGAUUAGAUUUAUAAAGUCUAAUUGCUAUUCACUAAGCUAAUUGAAUCUUACCAAAUUCGAUGAAUCUUAUCUGAUUCUAUUAAACACUUAUUUGAGGACACUACUUCUAGUAAAUAUUUAAAAGGGAGGGAUAUGAUUGGUUUCUUAAUUUUUAGUUAGAAAUGUAGCAAGGCCCCACUUCGAUCAUUUUUGUUAGAAAUCAACUCAGUUAAAAAUAUAAAGUAUUUAGGUUUUGAAUUUGGAACAUCGAAUAUCAAUUAUUAAGUUUUUAACCAACUGUGCUCGGCAUGUUCAGUUAUGGUUGGUAUUAUGUUAAGCAUGUUGAGUCAUGAACAUUGAUCUAUAUAUUGGCCAUGUUAAAAAAGGUUUUUAUUGUUCUUACUUGUGUAUUGUAUGAUUUACCUACUCGCUCUCUCUCUUCUCUCUCUCUCAUAAAUGGCUCGAAGUAAAGUCAAACAAUAAAUGGCCAUGUCCCAAGCCCAAGGAAUUAAAUUUGUUGGUUUUUUUUAGAUCUUGGAUCAGAGGCCAACCCAGUAAUGAAUUGUUUCCCAUAAAUGUGGACAAUAGAUAAAUUUAAUCCUUUUUUUAGCCGCCUCAAUUUUUUAUUGUGCAUGCGUAGUGGAUUGUAAACGGUGUUUAGGUCAAUCGGUAUCUGAAUUUGGAGCCAAUCCAAGUUUUUUUUUUUUUAGUUCAACAAGAAGUGUAUCCUUGCUAAAAGUUCUCAAUAAAUUGGGUUAAUUUUUGUGAUUAGAUUUUACUUGAUCAAGUUCAAGAAAUUCGGCGAAAUAAUCUAUAUAUAUAUUGACCUUUUCUUUUGAUAAGAUUAACGGAGAAUUCUACUUGUUGAACUCAAUAAAAUUAAAUGAUGUCGAACACAGGGGAUGUCUCUACUAUGGCAUUACUAAAAGUUGAUUUAGUAUUUAGAAUAAAAUAGAAAUAUUUUUUCGGCGUAUCAGAUUCCUGAAAUGUUAGUUAAAAAAUCAUACAAAAGAGUUUCAUGCAUAUGGCCUCAUACUUUUUGUGCACGAGCUCUUUUCCCCAUUCCUUACUUUAUAUAGCAUUCCCACAUCGCAAAAUAUUCACCUUUAAUCAUGAUCCAUUAUCUAAAUUAAUUAGCAUUACAUAUAUAUAUAUAUAUAUAUAUAUAUAUAUAUAUUAACACGAAGGGAUACUCCUUAUCUCACCAAGCACAUGUGGAGGAGGCAGUUUUGUACUUGUCCUCAUUUGUACAAUAAAAAUUUGCACUCGUCCUACUCAGUACAACAAACUUUUAUUUUAUGUUUUACUUUUUUUUUAUUUUAAACAUGUGAAUAAUUUUUUUAAAAAGUCAGCUCCUCUUAACAUUACAUUUAUUAUUAUUAUUAUUAUUAUAAAGAAUGAAAAGCGUUCGUCAAUCUAGGUGCAACGACAGCGGUGGAGCGAAAAAUAGAAAUUAUAGUGAAAAAAUUAUUACCAUUAUUAUUAUUAUUAUUUACUCAAAUUAUUUAUAAAGGUGGAAUCUCUACUUUUGGACACGUGUCAAAACGAAACGUUCUUAUGCGUGUUUGCCGUUGUGGUGCGUUCCAGGGGAUCGGGCCAACGAUUUUGAGUCCGCGCUCAUCCGGCGUGGCGGGCUCGUGGGUCUGACCAAGUGACGGGUCAACGGAUCCACGUCGCUCACGCAAAAUACGAAAACUAUUCCCCGCACCCGGUCCAUCCGUACACCCGUGCACAGCCAAGUUAUUCGGCCUAGAUUAUCUCUCAUCCAUCUUAUCUCUACUUUCAAUCUCGUUGAUUUAUGAAUUACUAUUUUCUUCUUAAAAAAAAUUGAAUGACAGUGAUUGUUGGGUAUAUGCUUCAAUCUAUAUAAUUUUAUAAAUAUAGAGUACGAGGCUAACCUUCCGUCCAUUUCUGAUGGGUGAAAGUUGAGAGGCUAAGAAGGAUUUCGCUAUAAGUAGAUUGAAAAAUAUCCUCCAAAGCAAAAUUUAAUAAGAACUACUACAUAUUUUAUUCUAGUGUAGUUUUCCUUCGAUUUUUUUUUUUUUUUGAAGCCCCAGCUGCCUCAUCUCAUAAUCAAGUUCAUAUCCUAAAUGAAUAAAACGGUAGCAUGCUAUCUUUUCUCAAAAAAAAAAAAAAUUAUUUUCAUCCUAACACACGGAUAAGAAUGCAUCGGGUGCAUAGAAUAGUUCACACUUCCGGGAACCAAAUGCCGGGUUUUUAAGAAAGCCCUUUAUCUCUUUUAAUUAUGCUCUCAACCCCCCUCCUCCACUCGAACUCCUAUAUAUACCUCUGAUCACCUUCACCAUUCCCACCCAAUCUCCUCGGCACAUUUAUGGUUAAUUCCUCACCCAUCUCUCCACAUCAAACCAAAAUAAAACCCCUACUAUUAGUUCUCCAUCUUUUAGCAUUUCUCUGCGAUUAGCUAUUCCCUAUUCAGUCUCUCUCUCUCUCUCUCCCUGGCGUUGGCGUGAGAUUGCGGAAAUGGCAAUGGAUUUAGAAGCGGAGGGGGAGAAGAAAGAGGAGGCGGCGGAGCGGCAGUACAUGGAAGGGGUGAAGCAGCUUUGCGAGAGCGGCAUCAAGAAGGUGCCCAACAAGUACAUCUUGCCAGCCUCGGAGCGUCCUCGGGUGAACGGACGGCGCGAUACCGCCGCUCAAAACCUCAGUCUCAAGCUGCCCGUCAUUGAUCUCUCUCUGUUGCACUCGAAAGACCACGCAUCGGUUAUUCAGUCCUUGGAAAAGGCCUGCGAGGAGUACGGAUUCUUUCAGGUACUACGUUUGUUGAAGUGCUAUUUGAAUAGAACUAUUUUUAAUAUUUUUAAAAAAAAACUACUUCUCACUGUAUGAAGUUUAUAGAUAGUGAACCACGGCAUUCCGAUCGAGGUUAUAAGGGAUAUGGUCGGCGUCGUGAGGAGAUUCUUCGAGCUUCCGUUUGAGGAGAGAUCAAAGUAUAUGUCGUCCGACAUACGAAAUCCAGUUAGGUACGGGACGAGCUUCAACCAAAUGAACGACAAAGUGUUUUCUUGGAGAGACUUCCUGAAACUCAGCUGCCAUCCUAUCUCCAGCGCUCUCCCGUUUUGGCCUUCUUCUCCUGCAGACUUAAGGUAGCGCUCGCAGUACAUAUUAACUAUUUUAUUUAUUGAUUAUGAUAGAUCAAUUUAAUAAAAAAAAAUAAUUUAUAUUAUUCUAUUAUACGCACACUCAUAAAAAAGAUAAUAAAAAAAAGCAACAAUUGAAAUAUUACCCAUUAAUGAUUGUUUAGGAAACAGUACAAAAAUAGCCCUAUCAAACAAAAAGUAGGGUUGGUCUAUAGAGCAGGGUUUCUAUACUUUUAUGAGUAUAGAGCACUUCGUACUCAUAAGUUAUUUUAGAUGUUGGGAUUUUCAAAUCAACGAUCCACACCGUUAAAUAUGAUCUAGAGUAUUUAAAACUUCUAGAAAAUAAAUGUCAUAAUUUUUUGAAAUCAUUAUAAAUUCAUCAAGCGGGUAUAAAAUGAACGGUCAAAAUCGAACGACACCCUAAAAAUGGAUGAUCGGAUCAUUCAAUUUAAAACCGGAGUUAUUGAUCUUUAUUUAGGUAGUGAAUAAAAUUUUCUAUAAAAAAUUCAACCUAUUCCGAUUCUUUUUCACUGUUAAAAUAACAAAUAUCUCAUACCGGUCGUUAAAAAUUGUCAAUUUUGUGAGCUUUUGAUCGUAAGGUAAAUGAUAUCAAAAAAUUAUAAAAUUUNAAAUAACAAAUAUCUCAUACCGGUCGUUAAAAAUUGUCAAUUUUGUGAGCUUUUGAUCGUAAGGUAAAUGAUAUCAAAAAAUUAUAAAAUUUAAUUUCUAAAAGUUUUAAAUGCUCUAGAUUAUAUUUAACAGUAUGAAUCGUUAAUUCGAAAGUUCUAUCAACGAAAACAACUUAUGAGUACGAAGGCAAUCGUACUCAUAAGAGUAUAGUAGCCGAACUCUUGGCCUAUAUACCAUAUAUAUGAUCGUGUGAGCGUUGCACACUGAAAAGCCUUUAUAGGUGGAAACUGGGGUGGGUAGUUUGAUAAUUUCUAUGUACGCACCUAGAUUUGGUCGGUUUUUAAGUUUCCUGUAACUCAUUAAUUUUUGUCCCCUUCAUUUAGUAGAGUAGCAGUUCCUCUACGACACAGGAGCCAGCUUUUAUUGGAAGCAUAUAUAUAUAUUUCUCUCUUUAAGUUGUUCAAGCUUUAACCACCUUAAUUUUCUUUCCAUUUAAACUCUAUCUCUCUCUUGUUUCAAUGGUUCAGAUAAGUAAUUUACCACCUCUUUUAAAUUCUUAAUAUUCUUUUAUACAAUAUAUAUAUGUGGAUUCAAGUUGUUUUCUUUUUUCUUUUUUUUUUUUGUGUGCGCACGCACACCCUAGAAGCGAAAAAAGUAAUUAAAUUCCUCCAAACAGAUGUGCUGAAGCCAACUCAUCAGAGCCAAGUCAUAGUCAGUUGUGGGUAAUAUGGUGAUAGAAGUCGACUGCACAGAACCAAACUCACAACUUUAUACAUAAAUAAAUAUAAUAUAUUUUAAAAUACUAUUGAUAAAUCAGUAUUAAUAUAAAUAUUAUAAUUUAUUAAUGAAGAUUUGCUUUUUUUUGAAGUUAAUAUCUUAAUUUUAAUUUCAUAUUUAAAAUUUGAAAGUUUAAACCACAACAGUUAGUUGUUAUAUGUUUGGAAGAGUGAAAAAUCAACCAUAGUACAAUGAGAUGUAUUAUUAAAGUACCCAUAGUUAGUAUCUAAUAAUUUAUGAGUGAGUCCUUCUUACUUUAGCUUUUUGGACUCCAUAUCUUACUUAGAUCUUCAUGUUCCAUAUAAGGACUACACUUUUGGGUACCCUCUACUGUACCCUUAGUAUUAUAUAUAUAUAUAUAUAUUAAAUUAAAUUCGGAUAAAUUUAACGGUAAAAAAUUUGAUAGUACCAAAUAUUUCAUGCUAUUAAUAAUAUUCCAGCCGAAUUCUAUAUAUAUAUAUAUAAAAUUAAACUCAGGUAGCUAAACGAGUCGCUACUACAUGUUGUGCCAACUAAGAUAUAGAGAAGUAGUUAGUACAUCAUUAAAUUAUUUAGGCCUUUUUCGCUAUCAUAUUUAUUUUUUGUUUUCAUAAUAAAAUUUUGUAUAUUAAAAAAAAUUGUAGGAGCAAACAGCGAAUUAUUUGUAAAUUUUUCAUCCAAAGUAACAUUUACUCAGCAACAAAAAAGAUAUUUAUAAAUAAAUUUUUUUAAUUUUUUUUUUAAACAUGUAGCCAUCUAUCACUCAACCUGAUGCAUAGUAAGCUAAGGGACAAUAACAAUACCCCAAAUAAAAAAAAAAAAAUCCAGCACUUCACAUUAUAUAAAAUUAAUAUUUUUUUAAAAAAAUGACAACGAUGCCGAAAUUUUACCAGAAAUUAGUAAAUAAAGUUUGCACUCACUGUACCAUAAGAUGUAUAAUUUGACUCGAUCAAAUUGAGUGGUUUCAUUUGGAAAAAUUAGUAUAGUUAUUUAAUUCUUCAAUUUGAAAAAUUUCAAUCCUAAUUAAAAGGGUAGCUGAAUUUUGAGCAAAUCAAAGAUUAAAUAAAAACACCGUAUAGAUUCGGUCGCUUAAUUUGAUCUUUGCGUGAUUUCAACUUUGACCCACGUGAGAAUUCGAGUUGUGGAUCGAGUCAACUAUAUGGGAGAGUUUUGGACCACAACGUACAUUUUUAUUGUGAAAAUGUUUAUUUGGACCAUAAUUAGCCCCUGCUUAAUUAAAUUAAACUUAUUGAAUUAACCCUCCUUUAUUAAUCUAAUGCAGGGACAAAGCACUUUUAUAUGUCAAGGAAAUGAAGAGUUUGUUCAUGGAUCUGAUGGAAGCGAUUUUGGAGACUCUAGGAGUGAACCGUGGCGUGCUCGAAGAAUUUAGAACUGGAUCGCAUAUCCUUGUAGCGAAUUGUUAUCCGGUGUGCCCCGAACCGGGACUUACCCUCGGAAUGCCGCCCCAUUCUGACUAUGGCUUCCUCACUCUUCUCCUCCAGGACGACGUCGAGGGGCUACAAAUCCAGCACGGCGACGAAUGGGUCACCGUCGAGCCAGUCCCUGACUCUCUUGUCGUAAACAUCGGCGAUCAUUUUGAGGUAGUUAAAGUUACUUAAAUUUAAAGCUUUUACUUUUGGGUUUAGAAUAUCAUUUCAAUUUUUCGCUCUAGUUAGGAGUACUUAUUCCCUCAACAUUAAUUGCGCUCUCAAAAGUCUAAAUUUAUUGGUUUUGAAACACGAGUGUUGCUCUCAUGAUAAUUAAUUAAGCAUUUUCCUAACCAUUUUGUUCCUUACAAUUGGAGGGUAUAUUUUCAAAAUUUCUAGUUAAAUAUUUCGGAUUGAACAGUUAUUUUAGAAAUCGGGCCAAUGAACAAAUUCAUAGUCCUAAAUCGGAAUUCGAUCUUUGAAUCUCAGAUAUUCAGUAACGGGAGGUACAAGAGCGUUCUCCACCGAGUGUUGGUCAACCCUGCGAAGCUCCGAAUCUCCGUCGCAUCCCUCCACAGUCUCCCCAUCGAGCGCGUCGUCGGGCCCUCCCCCGACCUUGUCGACGACGACGACAACCCGCGGCGUUACAUGGACACGGACUUCGCCUCGUUCCUCGAUUACAUCGCCUCGUGCGAAUCGAAGCACAAGAACUUCCUCGAGUCAAGGAGGUUGACUCCUGGCAAGGCCCUCCCUGAUAGUCAACCAAUUUGACUUCUGAUUCCCUCGCCAAAAAGGCGUUGACAAUUUGAGCAUCGUAUUUUUGGGCUAUUUAAAUAUUCCGACAAAUUAAUUGAGACUACGUCAUCAUCACCAUCAUCCUCCUUUUCAAAUUAUUCAACCACUCAAUUGUAGGAGAUAAGAUCCGUAUAGUAUGUACGUAGAAAGGAGAGAGUAAGGGAUAAAAAUAUAUCUAUAAUUAAUUAUACUUGCGGUUGGAAUCCUUUUAAUUAUCUUUGUAAUAUAUAGAAAUAGGUAUAUAAAUUAAAGAUUGACCUUUAGCUUUUAUUUAUUUAUUUAUUUCGGAACAAGUAUGAUGAUUUAUGGAGUGGUUUCAUAGAGAUAGGUGGAUCAUCAUAAAGGCCGUAGACAAGACCACCAUUAUAAAUCAAUGCUAGUACUAUAGGAUAUUACUAAAUAAGAGUAAUGAUCACACAUGUGCCUAAUCAAUUUAGUUAGCAAUAUUAAUGAUUAAAAUCAAAACUAUUACCUGCAACAAUUAGGCUAAUUAACUCGCUUUCCUAAAUAUAAAAUGUACCAUAUAUGAUUGCAGCAAACGUACGUAACCAAAUGUGUCAUAAUAUGUGUCAGGCUAAUUUAUCAAUAAUAUUCAGAGAUAUUUUUGGAUGUAUACAAAACAUUAAUUAAUCUAAACAUAAAUUUUCACUAUACAUUAGUAUAAGUAUAUUGUGCUUUAUUAUAAAAGUACACGGCGGAAAAGAAAACAUAAAAAACAUUCAUUUCUUACAAAAGUAAGCAUUAAAGGAGUCAACUCCCAAGGAAGCUUCCUUAUACUGGAAAUGAUGGAAAUGUUUUCCAAGUUAUUUAUUUCUCUUUAAAAAACUAAUAGAAUGGAAAUUCUUAGUUGACUUUUUAAAGUCUUUAAAAAAAAAAAAAAAAGUUUAUCACACUAUUUGACGCACCAUUCAAACCAAGGUUCAACUAGGGCAGGCUACUUAGGAAGUUUCAUUGAAAUGGCAGUAGUGAAGAAAAGCCAAGGAAAUGCUGUGUUAUUUUUAUUAAAAUUAAAUUAAUUAAGUCAAACCUUUUCAAGAUAUGCUAUAAAAAGAACCAAUAAUUGAUCUCAUUUUGCGUAAAAUCAUCGACACGUUCUUUGCUACUAUAAUAGUUAACUAAUAGUGUCAUAUUAGGAAUAGUAAUCAUAUGGUGGCCUGUUUGGUUGGAUCGAUGCAGUUAUUAAUAUAAUAUAGUUGAAGAUGUAUGCGUUUGAAAAUAAAACAGUUACAACUACUAUAUCGUAUUUGACUGGAUGUUGUAGAAAGCAUUGUAAUUAAAAUAAUUUAUUUGGUACAAAGUUUUACUACUUUAUACAUAUGGGAUGGUGAGAUUAUUAUAAUGUAGAAUAAAAUAUAUUUUCUGUUUAAGAGAUUAAUAGGAAGGUAAGAUUAUCUUUUAUUCAAAGUUAUUUUCUCCAACUGCUUCAGCAGCUAAUACGGAGAUAAUUCGAACUACUGUGUUUUAGCCUACUCGUCCAACUUCCACAGUAGCAAUUUAAUUAAGACAACACUGAAUUUGAAAUUACAUGCAACGAACUAGGCCCUUAUACUAGAUAGAAAAAAGAAUCAUGACCCCGACCUGUAUGUAUAUAAUAUAUAUUACCAUUAAUUUUAUGUUUUAGUAUUUCUAAUUAUUUGAGCUCUUUAACAUAUGUUUAACUCCCCUCAAAAUAUGUACAUUUAAGUUUUCUCCAAUUACUCUAAAGAAUCUUUUGAAAUUGAAAAGAGUCACCGCAUUAACUUAAACAUAUGUUGUAGACGUUGAAAAUGUUGAUGAGAGCAAGCAUUAUAUUCAUACAAUUAAGUUAAAAACAAAUAUGUAUGUAUAUAUAUAUAUAUAUAUAUAUAUACACAAAGCUAAUAGGAAUGGGGGAAGUAUUAAUCAUCCAUUUAAUAUACAAAUUUGAACUCAUGUUUGAAAGAGGAAAAUUUAAUAAAAUAUUCACAUGGCCUAUCUAUAUCGGGAGAAUGGGGACCAAUCUAUUUUGUACUGCUACUGCAAAAUAGUACCUAUAUUGACUUUUCUCAUGCAUUUAUUUUUUGUACAUAUAUUAAUUGUCCACAAUAAUGCACUACUAUGCUUGGCGCCUUCAAUAUGGGGGCACUCUUGUAGCCAUAGUAUUACCAGCUAUUUGUAGAUCUUCGUGGUCCCAAGAGUAUCUUAUUCCAGAUUCACGCUUGGAUUUGCAACAGCGCAUAUAUAUAUAUAUAUAUAUUGAUUCGGAAUACUAUCGAUAGCAAAUCGGCUCCGUUUGCCACGUAUUUAUUUUCAAUGAUGGAGCCUCCAAAUCGACGAUCGACAUCGGUGAACAUGAUCUAUACCACUUAAAGUAUCUAGAAAUCAAAUUUCAUGCUUUUUAGAUAUUAUUCUCUUGUCCAUCAGGUGGGCGCAAAAAUGAACAGCUGAAUAUGAAUAUUCUCUAAAAAGUGAUGAUAGAAAUUUUAUAAUCAAGAUCGAGAGUAUAAAUCUUGUUUUAAAUAGUUUAAAAAAUUUUCUAACUAAAAUUCAAUUGAUUUGAAUAGCUCUACACCGUUAAACGUGAAAACACCUUAUAUCUACCAUUAAAAUUACAAAUUUUAAAACCCUUUGAUCAUUAGGUCGAUGAUAUCGAAAAGAUUUGAAAUUUAGUUUCUAAAUACUUCAAGUGGUAUAAAUUAUGUUCAACGGUGCCAAUCGUCGAUUCGGAGGCUCCAUCAUCGAAAACAAAUGGGUGGCAACGGAGCCCGUUUGCUACCGAUAGCCUUCCAGCUCAACUCUAUAUAUAUAUAUAAUAUAUAUUAUAUAUAUAUAUAGUAUAUAUAUAUAUAUAUAUAUAUAUAAUUGAACUGGGUUACUAUCGGUAGUAAACUGCUCGGUUUACUACUGAUUUGUCUUUUGAUGAUAGAGCUCCAAAUCGACGAUCGGGCACCGUUAAACAUGAUUAAACCAUUUAAAUAUUAGAAAAUAAUUCUCAUGAUUUUUUGGUAUCACUACUGAACGAUCAAAGAUCACAAAGAUCUAUAAUUUAAUGGCCGAUAUGGUGCGUUUGCGUCGUCUUAACAGUAUAGAAGGUUUAAAUCACUAAAUUUUUUUAGAAAAUUCUUUAAACUAUUUCAAAUAAGAUCUAGAACUCUAGAUCUCAAUAUGAAAAAUUAGUAUCAUCCAUUUUGAAGGAUCAUUAUUCAAGGCAUUCAUUUUUGUUAACUUGAUGACAAGAGAACAAUAUCGAAAAAUGUGUGAAAUUUGAUUUCCAGAUAGUUAAAUAAUUUAGAUAAUGUUAACGUGCGCGCAUCAUCAUUUGAUAGCUCUAUCAUCGAAAGCAAAUCGGGUAGUAAAACGAGCGUUACUACCGAUAUGUCAUUCUAACGCUAUCAAACUCUUUCUCUCUCAUCUCCACGGCAAUUUCUCUCGUCUCCUCUCUCUCCUCUCUCUCUCUCUCGUUCCUCUCUCUCUCUAUUAUAUAUAUAUAUAUAUAUAUAUGGUCCGUGCUACUACUACUAUUAUGAGUAGAUCGCCUCUCUACUCAUAAUGUGUUUUCGAUGAAGAGCUUUCGAAUACGACGAUCCACACGUUAAACGUUAUUUACAGUAUUAAACUUCUAGAAUACAAAUUUAUGAAUUUUUCGAAGUCAUUUACCUUAUGAUCAAGAGGUCACAAAUUUGCAUUUUUAACAGCCGUAUGGGAUAACAUUGCUAGUUAACGGUGUAGAAAAAUCAAAAUUUGUUGAAUUUUGAUAGAAAUUCUAUCACAUACUAGAUAAAGUCAAUAACUUCGAUCAUUUGAAUUAAGGAUCCGAAUCAUCUUUUUAGACGUCGUUCGAUUUAGACGGCAUUCAUUUUAUAACCCACUUGAUGCUUUAUUAUGAGUUGUCGAAAAUUUAGCUAAAUUAUUGUUCUAGAAGUUCUAAUAUGAUCUCUGAUCAUAUAUUUAACGAAAAGAGUGGAAUCGUCGAUGUCGGAAGCUCUAAUCAUUGAAAACAACUAUAGUACGAGAAGCUCAAUACUCAUAAAUAGUAUAAUAGCCAUGGCCUAUAUAUAUCAUAUAUAAUAUGAUAUACUAUAUAUAGCGAGAGAAAGAGAGAGAGAAAGAGAGAAGAGAGAGAGAAGCUGGAGCUAUACUAAUGAUAGCAAAACGUCAUUCUUCUAUCAAUUUAGAUCUUUGGAUCAACUCUUUUAAUAAUUUCUAAUCAUUUGAUUAAAUACACACUAAUAAACAGUGGGGACGACUCACCCAUAGGGGACCACUCACUCUAAUUGACUAAUAUCAUCUCCUAUCCUAACAAUUUCUCAUUCAAAGUUAAAAAAAUUUGAUAGUAAAAAAGAGUUUUUGCUAUAUAUAUAUAUAUAUAUAUUAUAUAUAUAUAUAUAUCAAUGAAUUUAGGCUACUAUAUGAAUUUGUAGUACGAGGAACUCCCGUACUAUAGGUUGUUUUCGAUCUUAGGGCGUUUCAAUUUAACAGAUCCCACACAGCUAAAUAUGAGCUACAGCAGGUAUAUGAAAGUUCUAAGAAAAAAAAUUUUAGUUUUUUUUUGAUAAUCGUUUACUUAUGAAAUAAAUAUUGUAAAAAAUAGACGGUGCGAACUAAAUACUCUUUAAAAAAUUUGAGCACCUAGACUUUUUAAAUCAAGAUUCAAGAAGUGUAACGCUAAUCUAUAUAGUUUAAAAGAAUUUUCUAUCAAAAACAUUUGACAAAAAUUAGAUUAUAGCUACAACGUUAUCUCACAAACCUCGUCAUAAUAUGCCAUUGAAAGUUGAAAUUUUGAAAUGUUUGAUCAUAAAGUAAACUAUGGCGAAAAAAUAAUAAAUUUUUAUUUCUUAGAAAACUUUAAAUACCUAGAUAGUUUCUAACGGUGUGAUCAUUGAUUUGAAUGCCCAAGAUCGAAAAAACAUACUAAUAAGUACGCGAGCUCCCGACUAUAAAUGUAUAGUAGCGACUCUUAUUAAUAUAAGUAAAAUAACUAGUAUAUAUAUAAUAUAUAUUAUAUAUAUAUAUAGUAUAUAUAUAUAUAUAUAUAUAUAUAAUUGAACUGGGUUACUAUCGGUAUAAACUCGCUCAGUUUACUACGAUUGUCUUUUAGAUAGAGCUCCAAAUCGACGAUGCGGCACGUUGAACAUGAUCUAAACCAUUUAAAUAUUAGAAAAUAAUUCUCAGAUUUUUGGUAUCACUAACUGAACGAUCAAAGGAUCACAAAAAUACUAUAAUUUUAAUGGCCGAUACUGGUGCGUUGCAUCGUUUACAACAUAUAGAAGGUUUAAAUCACUAAUUUUUUAGAAGAAUUCUUUAAACUAUUUAAAUAAGAUCUUAGACUCUAGAUCUCAAUAUAAAAAUUAAAUAUCAAUCAUUUUUGAAGGAAUCAAUUCAAGCGCAUUCAUUUUGUUAACUUGAUGACAAGAGAACAAUAUCGAAAAAUGUGUGAAAUUUGAUUUCCAAUAGUUUAAAUAAUUUAGAUAAUUGUUAACGGUCCCGACAUCAUUUGAUAGCUCUAAUCAUCGAAAGCAAUCGGUAGUAAAAGAGCCGUUACUAGCCGAUAGUAUUCUAAAGCAAAACUCUCUCUCUCAUCUCCGACGAGACAACAUCUCUCUCUCUCUAUCUCUCUCUCUCUCUCUCGUCCCUCUCUCUCUAUAUAUAUAUAUAUAUAUAUAUAAUGGUCCGUGCUACUAUACUAUUAUGAGUACGAUCGCCUCUCUACUCAUAAUUGUUUUCGAUGAUAGAGCUUUGCGAAUACGACGAUCCACACCGUUAACGUUAUUUUACAGUAUUAAAACUUCUAGAAUCAAAUUUUAUAAUUUUGCGAAGCAAUCAUUUACCUUAUGAUCAAGAGGUCAACAAAUUUGCAUUUUUAAAGCGCGGUAUGGGAUAACUUCUAGUUAACGGUGUAAAAGAAUCAAAAUUUGUUGAAUUUUUGAUAGAAAUUCUAUUCACUACUAGAUAAAGUCAAUAACUUCCGAUCUUUGAAUUGAAGGAUCCGAAUCAUACUUUUUUAGAACGUCGUUCGAUUUAGACCGUUCAUUUUAAUAACCCACUUGAUGGCUUUAUUAUGAGUUCGAAAUUUACUAAAUUAUUGUUCUAGAGUUUCAAUUACUCUGAUCAAUAUUUAACAAGAGUGGAAUCGUUCAGAUGUCGGAAGCUCUAAUCAUUGAAAACAACUUAUGAGUACGAGAGCUCCAAUACUCAUAAUAGUAUAAUAGCCAUGGCUCUAUAUAUAUAUAUAUAUAUAUAUAUACUAUAUAUAGCGAGAGAAAGAGAGAGAGAAAGAGAGAGAGCAGAGAGAGCUGGGCUAUAUAUGAUGCAAAACGUCAUUUUCUAUCAAUUUAGAUCUUUGGAUCAACUCUUUUAAUAAUUUCUAAUCAUUUGAUAAAUACAACUAUAAAUCAGUGGGGGACGACUCAACCCAAGGGGACCACUCAUCUAAUGACUAAUGAUCAUCCACAUAUCCUACAAUUUCUCAUUCAAAAGUUAAAAAUUUGAUAGUAAAGAAGAGUUUUUGCUAUAUAUAUAUAUAUAUAUAUAUAUUAUAUAUAUAUAUAUCAUAGAAUUUAGGCUACUAUACUAUUUGUAGUACGGGAACUCCCGUACUAUAGUGUUGUUUUCGAUCUUUAGGUGCGUUCAAUUAACAGUCCACACGCGUUAAAUAUGAUCUAGGGUAUAUGAAGUUCUAAGAAAAAAAAUUUAGUUUUUUUGAUAACUCGUUCUACAUUAGUAAAUAAAUAUGUCAAAAUAGACGGUGGAAUAAAUACUCUUUAAAAAAUUUGAGCAUAGACAUUUUUCAAAUCAAGAUCAAGAAUGUUAACUUAAUCUAUAUAGUUUAAAAGAAUUUUCUAUCAAAAAAUUGACAAAAAUUUAGAUUAUUCUACACCGUUAUCCCAAACCUCGUCAUAAUAGCCAUUGAAAGUUGACAAAUUUGGAAAUGUUUGAUCAUAAAGUUAAACUAUGGCGAAAAAAUAUAAAUUUUAUUUCUAGAAAACUUUAAAUACCUAGAUCAGUUUCACCGGUGUGAUAUUGAUUUGAAUGCCCCAAAGAUCGAAAACAAAUACUAUAAGUACGGGAGCUCCCGACUAUAAAUAGUAUAGAGCCGACUCUAUAUAUAUAUAUAUAUAUAUAUAUAGUUGAAAUCGCAAUGCACCUCAAAUUCAUGAAUUUGGUAGUGAUGAUGACUUUCUUGUAAAAGGAUAUUUUAUUAACAUGAGCGUCAUUUCAAGAAGUCGGCAAUGAGCUCAGGAAUAUAUGUACGACUUUUGAUGGAGACCCAAAUCUAUAACCUGAUUGUUACUUAAUAGCUCAUUGAAUCUGAAUUUUAUAACCUGAAUUUGAUAAUUUGUGACAAAACAAGUUCAGAUUGGUCGUACACUGGCACCCGUAAACAAACACACCUGGAAAUAUACAGAAUCGUGUCAAUAAAAGAAAAAAAAAUCUUACAAAAUUGGUGUUUGGAUGAGUAUUCCCAAAAAUCUCAUACGCAAAUGUUUCGUUUAUUUCAUUUAAAAAUAAACGAAGCUGGAAAUGUGAAUCAACUACGAUUCAAACUUGGGAUUUCGAAUACUAACCACCAAAUUCUUUGCCACUUGUUCUAAGGACGGUCAGUCUCAUACACAAAUGUUUUAGAAAGGUUAUACACACAUAUACCAAGUCGUGUUAUUAUAUAUAAUAGUUGGGGCAGUUCUUUAUGUAUAUUCCUCUUGAAGUGCCUAUUUUUUAGAUAUACUUUUAGAAAGUUUAAGUGAUGAGAUUUAUCCCUCUAAAGUUUCAACUUCUUUCAAAUACAUUAUUGAAUUAAAUUCGGUUAGUUUAGUGUUAAAAAGAGCCAUUACCUUACUAUAAAGCUAUAUUUGCUCUUUCAAAUAUGCUUCAUAGAAAUUAAGUUUUAAGUAAUAAAAUCUAUCUUUCGCCGACCGUCCCUAUAGAGCAAGUGGCAAAGGGCUGGGUGGUUGGUACCCGAGAUCUAAGUUCGAAUCCUAGUUGAUUCACAUUUCUAGCUAAGUUUAUUUCUAAAUGAAAUAAACGAAGCGGGUAGCGUGCUACCUAUCUCUCCCAAAAAAAAUAAAUAAAAAAAAUAAAAUAAAAUCUAUCUUUCUAGUAUUCCAACUUCUUUGUAAUGUACCAUUCAUUUCACGCGGAGGUUAGACUAAAGAUAAAGUUAAAUUAGGAUACAUACAGAAUCUGGUAAUGUAAGAGUGUAUGUAUAGAGAGAGAGUUAAAGAGAGAAGAAGAGAGUUGUGCUAAAAUACUAUUAAUAGUAUGAUACUGUCUAUUUUGUGAUCAUUGGUUGUUUAAGGUUAAGUGGGUGAUUGAUAUGGUUGUAAUAAUCCAAGAGUAAAAAAGUGGAUAGGGCGCAUAGGUAGUUAUUCCUCAAUAGUUUGUGCACCAAAAAAAAAAAAAAAAAAAAAAUAAAAAAAAUAAUCAAAGAGAGGGGGAGCUAUAGGCCUUCUCUCUCUUUACACUAGUUAAAGCCCACUCCCACAAAUUGGGCCAAACUGUAGUGGGCCGGACCAAUCUAUAUGUAAGCCUGUGCAAUACGGGCCAAAUUUGUGUAUUAGGCCCACUUAUGAUCUUUAAUGGGUUUAUCCGGAGCCUAACCUUCUAAUUGAUAAGUUUUUUUUUGUUUUUUUCCCCUCCCCAAAGGUAAAAAUAUGUAAGCAAUUCCUUAAACAACAGAGCUGGAUCACAGGCUUAUAGAGUUUUGCAAAAAAAAAAUAGCACAAUUAAUGCACAGAACUUAGCAAGUAUACAAUUAUCCUCAAAACUAAAUGUAACUAAAAUAUAUAGACGGCGGUCUUCAAAUCUAUAAAUUAGAACCAGCAAAGAGCAGGAGAGGAGACAAAUUGGUCUCUCAAACAAUCAAGUUCAUUAUCGAUUAUCAAUGCUCAGAAAAGAAAAAAAAAAAAUGAAAUCCUCGAAUCGUGCUUCUGAUCAAGGUCCUUAUCUUGAUCCUCGAUCUCAGAGGGAGAAGAAAGAAGGUAAACUUUGAAGCAAAAUAUCAGAUGAUUCUUCUUCUUCUUCUUCUUCUUCUUUUUUCAAAAAGUAUUUUUUUCAUGUUCUGUGUCACAAGAAAUAGGCAGAUUUUGUUUGGAACAAAGCUUUUGUAAUGCAUUCUCAUUAGUUUGUUGGAAAAAAAUUACUUGUUUUGGCUCAACCACAUCCACCAAAUCAGAUUAGAAAAGAGAAAAGGGAGAAACAACCAAAUAUUUUGUUAGGUGAGAGCUUACAUCUUAGCCAGAUGCUACAUAUGACUUUUGAGCAAGGAAAAAGCUUAACGAGAAUAUUAUAAUCACUAAUUAAUAAUGGUCAAUGCCGAUGAAAAAGUAGAUAAAUAUUGUUGCAUAUCAUGCAAGUAAAUUCUUGGACUUACCUUUUCCCUUUAUUUAGCAAUUAACUAGCACAUUUGAGAUUGUGAUUGUAUCGUGCUACACAUUCAAUAAUAAUCUGUUAUUCAUCUCAUCUUACUCUUCAAUUAAAAAAUAAUUUAUAAAAUAUGAAAAAAAACUGUUAUAUUCUGUGUGGUGGUUCAUGGAUGAUGUGGUGGAUUAGGUCCAGCGAAACCUCCUCCAGGUAAAUUUUUAAAUGGUAACGGAUAAAACGGUUAACGACCCUUAGGCAUUUAAUAUACCCCAGUGGCAUCCUAUGCCCGUUGAUUUAUUGCUUGGGCCCACCACGAUCAGAUCGGACGGGUGUUCGUCUCCGGAGCCAUCCCACAUUCCCACUCUAUCAAAGAUGCCGAAUAUUUUUGAUACCCUGGAGAAAGGGUAUCCUAUGUACCCUGUCGGAAAGAGUAAGUAAUAACGGAUACAUUGAAUCUAGUUAAAUUUUCUGAAACUAGAGUUUUUGCAAAAUUGUAAUAAAUGUUUAAUAUAUUUAUUCUAUCAAUAAUAAUAAUAGUAUUAUAGCAAUAAUAUUAUUGUUUGAAAUAAAAGAGUUUGAACUUUUUGAUCAGUUCUACAUAAGGCCAAAAUGAACUUAUGAUUAUAACUUAGAAGCUCAAAUUUAAAGUUUGCAAAUUGUAACCUUUUCAUUGCUUUUAAGUGUUAUGAAUGCUUAAUAUUCCAUCUUGACGAGCAAGAUUGGUUUAUAAAAUGAUCCGAUCACCACGGCACGUAAUAUGAUCGAUCAUCCUGUAAAACUUUACCAUUUUGGAGUGUUAAAUAGAAAACUUAAAAAACAUAUUUCAUGUUGGCUUAGGAAAGACCAGCAAAAUCUUGUUUCGUGGCAGAGAGCGGAUUGCACCGAAUCACAAGCGAAACCUGCGGACGUUGUUUGCUUAUUUACUUUAAGUGAUAACUAAUUGUCCCCUCUUUCAAUAGGUUGAGUUUUGAAAUUGUGGUGACAGAAGAAUUAAUUUUUUAAUUUUAAACAGAAAAUACUUCAGCUAUCCUAAUAGAAUAUUAUCUUUAUAGAAUAUUAGUGUAUUAAUUAAUAUAUUAGCUCAAAAUGUUGGGGCAAUGGCUUUGCAUGUACCAGCUAGAUGGGCCCAAAUUAAUGAGAAGUUCUACACUAUCACGCUUGCACCUCGUCAUCCGUAACAAGCCAAUCACAUUUCUUCUUUUCAAAUAAACGUACAAUAAAAAUAUUCUUUUACAAUCAUAAUAGGACAUAUAUCUUUAAAAGGAUUUAUUUGAUUGGUUUGUGAUGCCAUGUCACUAAUACACCCGGUGUAUUCUAGAAUUUUUCCAAAUUAAUGGAGGUACAACCAACUAGUUAAACGUCAAUCUAUUAUGUCGCAAAAAUAAGUAAAAAAAAAAAAAAAAAAAAAAAAAAAAAAAAAAAAUUACAGAAAACUCACAUGACCCUUGCAUUAAAANGUCGCAAAAAUAAGUAAAAAAAAAAAAAAAAAAGGAAAAAAGAAAGGAAAUUAAAAAAGAAAAGGAGAAAGAGACACAGGAGAUAAGGGUCAUAAGGUAGCUUCUAAAGGGUCCCAUUCCAGGAAAAGUAAAAAGGUUAAGAAAAUCAUCCUGGAAUUUAACAAAGCAAACAGUAGAGAGAGACAGAGAUAGGACCCAAUAGUAGAUAAGAAGAUUAAAAGAGUAAACAAAUAAAAAAAAAGGAAAAAGAAAAAGAAUUAAAAGAAUACAAAUAUAAGAAGAGCAAGAGACCAACCUAAACAACCCUUCUCUAACCCCUCUCUACCUUCUCUACUAAGCCUCUCCAUCUCUCUCACCUCUUCAUAAACACAAACAAAACACAUACCAUCCCCAUUACACUCCCACAAACCAUGUCGGCCUCUCCUGAGCUCGCUCUCCCGCCUAUCGCGACCGCCCGAUCGCAUCCGGUUCAAGACCAGGGAAGGAACGACGCUUCACCGCCGACGGUCGACGGCGACGACAGCGGGGAGUGCCGCACGCCGACUGCAGAAGCGAGUAAGCUCCCCGUGGCCGCGCGAAUUUGCCCGCCGGCCCCGCGGAAGCCCCGGAGGGUGGUGCUGUGCAAGAGAAGGCUUUCGGUGGAUUUUGAGCUCAUCAGUGUUGAAAUGGAGGAGUUGGAGAAUUUGUUUCGGGUAAACUUCGCUGGGAAUUCGAUUAACGAAAGAGAUGUGAAGCGGAGGAAGAUAUGCAUGUCAUCCACUUGAAGAUUAAAAAAGGUCAAACUUUUAUUAUGGUGAUUUAUAAGAUAUGAUAGGUUCACGAACGUGUGUAAGAUAGGGGUUUUUUUCUUUCUUUCUUUUUUUUUUUUUUGGUAUUUUUGUUCUCAUGUGGUAUAGAUAUUUGUAACAUUUAAUUACUGAAGCAGUUGAUAAUGGAAGUUGCAUGUUAAUUAACUUAGUGCGUGGGAUUUAGCAAUGGAGAGGUGAGGAUAUAUAUAUGAUUGUGUUUAAUUUGUUUUCUCCUUUGUGAUGUGUGUUAUAGCAUGAUCAUCACACAUGUUUUUUGUGUGGCCAUCAUGAAGCUGCUAUAAACCCCUAUAUAACUAUGUAUUGUGGUGCUUAAAAUGCAAGCUCACCGCGCUUCCAAAAAUUAUGCUCGAAAUUUUUAAAACAUUUUCAGAAAAAUGUGCUAAUUAAAUUGCUUGCGUGAAUUAUUGCCCUUCCACUUGCUUGUUGCACUUUAAACCUGUUAAUUAAUUUGGUCUUGUUAUAAGGUAUAUUGUUGUUUCAUAAUUAAGCUAAUAUAUAUUCAAGUAAGAGAACCACUCUUUUAACAGCAUAUAUUCUCAUUCCAUUCGCAUCUUGUCCAAGCAAAAUCAAAAGUUUCAAGUUGGAGCUUUUGUUUCUAAGGGGCCAGCUUAAUUAGAAUUAUAAUUCUCUUUUCUUGUCACAGUAUUAAGCUUAGAACUGUAUAUUUAUUGAAUACUCUAUAAAAUUUGUUAUUGCUAAUUAAGAACAAAAGAAAAAGCAGUAUAAGAGAGAAGAGAGAGAUGUAGAGAGAGGAUGAUGCAUGGUAGGUGAUGGGGAGGUGGGUGGGUUUUGGCGUUAUGCGGAUGGUCUCAUAUUGGGUGGAUCGAGUACGUUUCGAUCGCAUUGAACGAACGAAUGGAGAGGAGUAACGUGCACGACUCUCUUCUAUCUUAAUUUAACUUUCAAUAAUUAGAAACAUUACGCACGUCCGAUCUUUGACGAAGCUUUUAUCAACUUUUACAUGUUACUUUGUCCCCAUCCAUGCAUUACUUACUCCAUUAACACUCUAUUUAUAUGUCUCCUCUCGUAUUAAUAUUCAAUAUAUCAUCUUGGACGGCGCCUAGCUAUAAACAUAUAUUAUUUUGUGCAUUAAAUAACGUCCUUUUAAUUAUUUGGUACGUGAUUCAUUUAAUAUAAUACUAAAGAAGGUUUUACUUUUGUUGUUUUUUACCGCAGCGUGAACGUAGAUGAGGUGGGGACUAAACUUAGUUGAUGCUAUAUGUACAAACUGUUAUACAUACAUUAAUUUUAUGUGACUUUUUUAUCAAAAUUUUCCAAUAUUAAUAUUUUGUGUAGUAUAUUUUUUUCAUAUAAUAACAGCUAUAAUAAUAAAAGAUUAAUACGUAUUUAAUAACUUUCAUUAAAUAUAUUGCAUGGUCAUACUUAUAUGGGUCUUGAUAUAAGCGAGUCCAGAACUCUCUUGUGCGGUUGAAACUUUGGCUUGAAAAAUAGGAAAUAGUUUUUUUACAGUCGCAACGAAAACACAACAGCAUGAAUGUAGAUCAAAUCUUUCUUUUGUUGAAGAGUAUUCGUAAUCCUCAAGCCCUUUGUUAUAUUAAUAAUUUUUUUUAUCAUGAUGAGUGACUAAAUCUAUCUAAGUGCUCAAAUAAAAUUAUAAAACUUUACGAUCGUCCCCGGCUAAUGUAAGUUGUUAAUUAAAGAAUACGAUGAUUAAUAUAUGAUGUGAUUAUGAGCAUAGCGAAAUUUUUCUUUACGCAUCUAUGAUCUAAUUUUUAAUUUAUUUAAUUAGAGAUGCGGUAAAAUUAGUACACGAUAUUGCCAUCGUAACAGUAUAUAAUGUUCUGAGUUCAAAAUUAAUUUGUUUGAUAUUUUUCACUAUUUUUUUUUUUAAAAAAAUAAUGAAGCAAGAUACCAUGCUCUUUUUCUCACAAAAAAAUAACAGUAGGAAACUUCAAUAAAACCCCAAAAAAGGAAUUUAUCAAAUUUUUUUAAAAAAAUAAAUACGAAAAUACAUUUUUACAUAAAAAAAACCGGGCAAAUGCAGUUCCCUAGGGAGAAUGGAACACAGUAACGGCCGUACGAUGCGAGACCUCGUCGGACACGUGGACGUCGAUCAUGAGAUAACCCGAGGGGAUCGUGACAUGGUGUGGGGCCCACGCUUGUGCUGCGUAUUCGCGCGUUUGUAAACGGGAAGCGACAGCGACACGUGUGCCGAGUCCACAUUCCCCAAGAGCGCAUGGCCCACCAUACGUGCCAGAGGAAUCCGAGGAGCGAAACGAAUCGCGCGGUGAUUUAAAUAAUUACCCAAAAAAAAAUAAAAAAAAAAUAAUAAUUAUUGUAGGCUUAUAUAUAAAUUAUAAUCCAUGUAGACACUUCUUCUUUUUUCUUUUUUUUUCCGACGCAAAAUUCAAACCCAGUUUUUAUAACAAUAGAUUUGAGACGAUCUUUUCAUGACGUUUUAUUUUUUAAAAUUAACUAACAAUCACUUUUGACGGUCUCUAAAACAAGUGGAAAAAUAUCUAUGAUUUCAAAUUUGAAAUCAAAUUACUUUAUAUUUUUAGUUAAAUUUAUUUGUUUAAAAAAUAAUAAUUGAGACUGCAUUAAUUUUUCACUUGUCAAAUUACGCUCGCAUUUCAAAAAUAUAUAUAAGCUAAAUAAAUGAAGUUUUUUUGUUUUUUUUUUUUUUCUUUUACUUUUAUCAUAAUUAACGGAAAUUGAGAUGAACUUUUCUACGUGACCACAUGAUUAAAGCCACCUUAAAUAGCCAGAACAAGACCACAAGCAUCUUAGACCAGAACUUAGCUGUAGUAAAUGAGGUGGGGAAGGAAUAAAGCUAUAUAUCCAGGUGAACUUUGAACCCAAUUCUCUGAGGAGAGGAAUAUAAACCCAUUUAUAAAGAGUGAACACAAUAAGGACUUAAUAAAGUGGUCUUGGGUGUAAAUAGGAAAACGUUGCAAGGGCUCAGUUGCAAUAUGUAUGGCUUUUUCCUUAUAGAAGCCAAAGUGGAGGCUCUCGAGUCUCGACCUGUCAAGGAUAUAUCCCAUACAUGGACACUGCAAAAGAGGAAAAGGGAAUAGGAUAGAAGGUUGAAAAGUAGUGCUAUCUAUUUGCAGUACUAGAGAGAGAUGGGUAGGGGUGUAAUGUGGGCCGGAUCGUGCCGGCACGGCUCACAUUUUUCGUGCUGAUCCCGGCUAGGGGCCGGCCAGGCUCUGCCCGAUUUCAAAUUCGGGCCAGCCGUGCCGGGCUGGAGCUACCAACUCUCUGGCCCAGCACGGCCCUUCGGCCCGGAAGGCCCGGGCCGUGCCGGUCCGGGCUGUGCUCCGGGCCGGCCACUAAAGGAUUUUAUCCUUUAUUAUUUUUUUUAAAAUAUAUAAAAUUAAAAAAUAAACAAAUAAUUUUUUCUAUUUAAAAAUUUAAAAUUUAUAUAAUAAUUAUAAUAUAACAAAUAUUUAAAUUUUUAAAAAUAUAUAUAAUUUUUUAUAUUUUUUUGAAAAAAAAAAUUGGAGAGUGUAUUUGGUCCAAUGGACCAAAAUUAUUUGGUCCAUUGGACCAAAAACCUCCUUCUAGCAUACCUUGGGAGGAGAUCUCCUCGGAUGAAGGGCCAAGGCCCUUCUCCUCAGGAGAUCCAACCGCAAGGCUAGCCUUGGGCCUUUGGGUUCAGGCCGUGCUGGCUCAACUGGCAUAGCCCACUUGGGCCGUGCCGUGCCGAGCCACGGGUCUCCCUUCGUUCCGGCACUGCUCAGAACCGUAUCGGGCUGUGGCAGGACGAACCGUCGGGCCCAAGAAGAUUGGUUCAGCAUGGCCCAUAUAGCUGGACCGGCCUGGCCCGGCACGAUGCUACUAUAGCUGUGCCAGGCCAUGGCCCGACCGGCAGUCGUGCCAUUUUACACCCGUAGAGAUGGAUCACGUAAAAAUAAGAGAAAUACUUAGUCUAUAAUAAAAAAAGAUUAUAAUCUCUACAACCCCUCAUUCAAAAGUUGUUGAUUUUACUAACCCUUUUUAAAUUUUUACCAAAACUUAAAAAUAAAAAAAAAAGUGAUAAGAGAAGUAGAGAGAAAGUGGCUUUAGGACCAGAAGAGUCGUACCAGAGGAGUCGUAUGAUUAUAAUUCACAGUGAAUUCUGGACCUUGCACUCAUUUAGAAAUAACAGUUUGAUAAAUGGAGCGAGGACUUGAACAUAACGUGGAGGGUGUUUUUAUCGAAUAGUUUUUGAGUUGGUUUGAGCCCUUUAGCAUAGGUAUUAGAGCCUAAAAACUUAGUGUGUUUUGGGCCAAGGCCCAUAUAAAUUACUCAUAGGGUGGAUUUGGGCUCAUGUUUCAUCGGCCCAGCAAACCUAAUGGGCCUAGCCCAGUAGCUUUGUAUUCCUUGCCCAAAUCCUCUGUGUUCGAGUGAUCCAGUUGUUGCUUGUUUGUGCGCUUGAUUUGUUUUUUGUUUUUUUGUUUUUUUUCCUUUCCUUUUUCUCUGUUUACAUACUAGUCUUACUUUAGUUUUGAGAUAAACUAGCUGGUACAAAAAUAUUACCACCCAAUAAAGCUGAGUUGAGUUAGUGUGCUCGAUCGUACGUAUUUAGCAUUUAGAACUUUACUACUACUUGUGUUACAUUAUGAUUAGCUUUAAAUUUAUUGUAUUAUAUUGGUUAUAAUUUCACCGCCAUGGUUGCUAGUAAUUAAGAGCUAAGAGUUCCAGAAAAAAAACUGUUCAAACUGGACCAACUUAUCCGGUAAAAUGGAAAAAGAGAAUGAAGAAGCUACUUUGUUGUGUUAGUCAUGAUAUAUGUAACACCCCCAUCAGGAUUCAGGAACACGCACAGCGUGAAUACAUGCAUGACGUACACGAAACAAUUUGUCUUGGUUCUAAACUUAACUUGAGAGAUCAAACUGCUGUUACGAUACAACCAUUGAUAUCGAUCAGUGCUGCAGGUAAUUCAAAAGAACUCGUAAGAGUAGAUGCUUACCAAUUUUAAGAGUGUUUCCCAGCAACUCCAGUAAAAUAUAUAGUUCUACCCCCUUUACUCAAUUAAACAAGGGAGAUUAUUUCCAGUUAGGUAUCUCAAGAGUUUUGAUUACCAAUAUUUAUUGUGUCAACUAUAGAUGAAACACUUCAUCAGGAAGGCGAUUUAUUCACUUUUGAGUUUCAAGUGUUGCCGUUCGGCCUCACAAAUACAUCGGCCACAUUUUGCACAGUUCAUAAACAAGCUCUCACGUUCAUACGACGAUCAAUUUGUUGUAGUAUGAGUUGAAGAUUGUACAAAAUACAAAUACGCAGUUACAUAUAAACGCACUUUUUUUUUUUUCUUCGAGGUGACUAAAUUUUGUGUUUUGAGUUCGUACUAAUUAAUUGGCUGGCUCUGUAUUAUUAAACUUUAUAAAAAUUAAGAUUGUACCUUUUGUUAUAAUUUCGAUUUCUAAACCUGAAUUGUAGAUGGCGAUUAAUUCUUACUUGUGGUUCGUUCUCGUUCAUGAUCUGCCAAAAAAGAAACAUUUCGAGUCUAAUUCUCUUAUCCCCGGAAAUGAAACCGUCAUAGGAAUUAAGAUUAGAGUUAGAUCGGGACUCCCAUAUGUUACAUAUUUAUAUAUAAUUUGAUGUAAGAAUGUUAAAUCACGUACGUUCAUCAAGAACGUGUGGCCAGAUACAUCAUAAUCAUUAGAUCUACCGUAUUUUUAUAGAUCGACUUGAAUAGACCGACUGCAUCUUUAUAAAUCGUCUUAAAUAAAUCACAUAAACCAUAUCCAACAUAUAUAACUUGUUUUGCAAAUAAUUGCCAUUUCAAACUUCUCUGAGCUGUUACCUGACAAAAUUUGAUUGCAUUUAUCAAUUUUCAAAAUAAAAACUGGAAGAGGGCGGGUACAUGUAAUUUUAUCCAGUUGCAUGAGAGUAACGUGCAAGAGCACAGAGCCUUAUCCUUCGUACAACAAAGAAUUAUAUGCAGAAGACGCAGUGAAAGAUUACAAAAUCGCGUUUACUAUUCAAUACAUGCAACAAUUAAUUGCUCUGAUACGCACGUGCGGGAGAAAUUAGUACCUGCACAUGGUGUACGUAUAUCUACAUGUUUAAUAAAUAAUUAAUCCAAAAUUAAAAUAUGAUUAAAUUAAUGGAUAUUGUAAGAAACAUCUGGAGAUGUCAUGUAUAUAGGAAGAAAUUAAAUACUUCCUAAUUAAGAUUAACAAUGUAGAAAUAAAAUAUUAUUCACUCAUUUAUAAAUUUAAUAAUUACAGGUAUAUAAUCGACCGCCCUAACACAAGUUGCGAAGGACUUGAUGAUUAGUUAGUAUCCGAGAUUUCAAAUUUAAAAUCUAAUUGCUUCAUAUUUUCAGCUGGGUUUAUUUCUUAAAAAAAUAAAUAAAGUAGGAUGCAUGUUAUAAUUUUCCAAAAAAAGUAAUAAUUAUAAGAAUAUGUAUUAUAAAAUUAAUGCAUUUAUCCAAUUUAUAUUUUUUCAUUCAACAAUCUACCCUUCAAGUGUUUAGGAUUCUAUCGGUGAGGUGCAUGGUGCACCGGGUUCAUACAGCAACUUCUGCUUCGUGUUGUUGGCGUGACGUCAGCAAUAGCUGCAUCACCGUGGCAUGACGUGCGUGGGACACAGCUUAAUUAACAGCUAACAAUAACAUAAGCGACUCGAAUAAAUUUAACAAAAAUGCCAUGCCCUUCAAAUUCAAUAGAUAUAGAGAGUUAGAAAAAUUUUCUUUUAUUGGUUACGGAAAUUUCUCAAAAAUUUUAGUUAAAAGUAUGAAAUAAGUAUCAUUCGCAUUUAAGAUCUCGAAUAUUUAUUAUCAAGUCUUUAGCAAAAAGUGCUAAAUACAAUUAGUACAAAUAAUAUAAUUUUAUGUGCAUUUGCUUGUGUGAGCAUAGCAAAACUCUUAAUUUAAUACCUUGUUAAUUAGGAAUCAUAGAAUGCUUUUUCCAGUUCACGUGCAUUCCCCCCNACUAAUUGAGUUAUUGUAUAAUUAAACACCUUGAUCUCAAACCUUAAACCUAUAUAUAUGUACCAGCAGAUCUGAAUAUAAAUAAUUAUAUGUAUAUAAUCUGUUGAAUUUGAUGAUAUCAAAUUUACCUGUUAGUUUAUUUGGUUCGUUUUGAGUUUAAUUCAAUAACUCAAUUAGUAGACUAGUUGGUAGUUGGUUUGGACCGUAGUUAAGCUUUAGUUAACCCAUCAGCAUAUUGGACCAGAUGGAUUAUUAUGAAAGGAAUUCUCAAUUGGUAUAGUAUAUAGAAGUUCUCAUUUUGCUCUCAAAGAUUUUCUUUUCUUGUUAUAGAAAAGAGGGGUGUAUAAGAGAGAGUUGGCGAAGAAGCUUUCUUGUUUUUAUUGUUUGUUCAAAGUUUUCAAAGUUGAUUGGUGAGUAUUCGAAGAGACAUUUCAAAGUGAGAUUUGCAGAAUAUAUAGGAAGAUGCUUCAAAAAAAAGUAUAGCAAGAAAAGUUUUUCUAUUUGGUUGGUUCUAUGUCCAUUGUAAUAGAAUAGUACUUUUUAAUCAAAUCUUAUAAUCUGCUCAGUUUCAUAAUGGAUUUGAUCUUCCCGUAACCCAUGAAUGCAAUUCAGUUUCCGAUAACCACUUAAGUUUUCUUGUAUUGUUGUAGUUUUCAUUUACUCUAAUUUUUACAUUUUUUGAUUGUUGAUGAUUUAGAUCCAUCACAUUUGUUUAUUAUAUGGUUAAUUAGUAUUUUAACAGCGCGGGUUACAUCAUUAUCGCACUACAUAAUUGAUUGGUUGAUGUACAACUUUAUAAUAGUUUAUUUAAAAAUAUAUAUAUCAUUAUUUUCGAGAACUUAUUAUAUAUUAUAUAAGCAUCAAAUUGCCACAAAACUUCACGGCAUUAAAAAAUUCUAUUGUUCAUUAUAGAAGAAAACGAAUGUCCAAAUCUAUGUAUAUAUCCAGAACUAGGCUAGAAUACUAUUAAUAGUACUAAGUUAUAGGUACUAUUAGGUUUUCAGUUUUUGGAUGAAGAGAUGUGCGGUUAGGAUGAUAAUGAUCUUCUAGAAUUGAAUGAAUGGUUGAUUGAAUAGUAUAAUCUAAUGUAUGAAUAUUGUCAAAAAAAUAAAUCUAAUUAACGGUGAAAAACUCGAUAGCACCAACUAUUUGGUGUUAUUAAUAGCAUUAUAGCCAGACUCUAUAUAUCUAUAUUAAUUCUCCAAACCUUCUAAGUACAGUGUGUCAUACACUGUUGACAUCUUGGGUAUCCUCUCCAUUUGAUUUUUUGGGGAUGGUCCAUUCUAUAUAUAUACGAUUUCUCCUCCCUAGCUUUCCCUAGAGUGGUCCAUGAAUGGGAAUUGGGAAGGACCUUGUACAACUAAUCCAUUCCAUAAGCCAAAAUAGAGGGGCCCCAAAACAAAGCAACUAAUCCAUCUCCCUCUAAACGCCAUCACUGUCCCGCAAGGUUGGCUAGCUAGGACCCUUACCUCAAUCAACCAACAAAUUAUAAUUAUUGCUCGCACUCGGCACAUCUACACAUUCGUACGUAGACGUUCAAUCUCUUAUUUGCGAUUGCAGAUAAAUUAUGUUACGCGUAGUAAUUUUUAUGCUCGACAGCAUCAAACAGCUGCCAAUAUCAAAUGGACCAUAGACGAACGCACGCAUUAGGUGUAGGCAAUAACAUUGUCUAAAUUACAAUCCAUGUGGUUGGUUUGGGUUGCAUUUGUCCUUACUCCCACUUGUCAACACAAAUUAAGCGUCUAUAGUCACAAAUCCCACAUCUUUAAUAUACUCCCCCAACUAUUCCCUGCUCCACAGUAUAAAAUAAACUAACCGACCAUCCAACUAUUUGAACGUAAAAUAGAAGAAUAUUUAACUAAAACAAUAAAUAAAUAAAUAAAUAAAUGGAAUAGAAAUGAAUACAAUAAUGGAAUACAUAUAUAUAUAUAUAUAUAUAUAUAUAUGUAUGUAUAUGUACUACGGCUGUGACUGGUUACCAACAAUUAAUUAAUGUCAUCAAAUGGAAUGAAAUAAAAGCGCUUUUAAAUAACUCCACCUACGUAUUUGUGGGGAGAGAUUUUUGUGUAUUUUAUUAUCAACUAAUUAUUGAAUAAAUACAAUAAUUUGUCCUAUUAUUAUUAUUAUUAUUAUUAUUAUUAUUGUUGUUGUUGUUGUUGUUGUUGCUGUUGUAGUUGUUGGUAGUGGUUGUGGGUCUCAAGAAGCGAAGAAUGGGGCGCGGUGGGGGACGCCCUUGCGACGCCGCGAAUUCGGCAGCGACCGCGUUGCUCGGGCCGUGUCGGCGCCGACUCUGGUCUCCUCGCGCUGCGGUAUCCGCUCCCCGCUUCCCCCGGUAACCUUACCCCCCUCCGCUUUGUUAUCGUCCCCGUCUCCUCCUCCGCUCCCGCUCCCGCUCGCGCUCGCCUCGGUCGGUGUGAAGCUUGCGUCGCCGUUCCUCUUUAUCCGCACCAACUGCAACGAGAGCGCAAAUGAAAAGAAUAUUUAAUUGGUUCCGCGAAAGUGAUUUAAUACCGGAAUUCAUAUCUAUUUUUUUUUUUUUUAUUUAAUUAUUACAGUCGAAUAUAAUUUUUUUUUUUUUUUGCGUUUUUUUUUGGGGGGGGUGCUGUGAUGAAGUUGUUACAAAUGCAUGCAUGAUCGAUAUAUAUUUUUGAAUACAAUGUAGGUAGUAGCUAGGUAGGUAGGUAAAUUAAUUGAUUGAUGUAAAUAUUUUUUGAGCGAUCGAGAAAGAAGGAAAUUAAGUAAGGGAUUAAUUGGACCUUGCAGCCGAGGGAGCAGAAGCGGAAGGGGUCGAGGAGGGCGCGGGCGCAGAUCUCGCAGUAGUGCGUGGACGACGCGGCCUUCCCGGCUGCGGCGGCCCCUCCGCCGCGCGGCUGCGGGCGCUCGUUGAGGAAGAGCACCCGCGCGCUGUUGAUGACGUACGUCUGCACCCCGCCGAUGUCCAGCGCCUUCUCCACCUCCGCCACCCGCACCACGUCGUGGUACGACGACCGCCGUAUCUACACCACACCACACCCGCACACUAUACUUCUUCCUCAGUCAUUAACUAGCUACUAUAUAUUAAUUAUUUGCAGCAUCAUCAAUCAUCAUCAUCAUCAUCAUCAUCGUUGUUGUUGUACAAUGUUAUUAGUUCUCUUUAUAUAUAUAUUAAAAUAAACAAACAAACAAACAAACAAACAAUUAUAUAUAUGUAAUGAAAUUUUGACCUGGAUGACGCGGUGGCCGGGGUGGAUGUCGGAGCGGCAGUAGAAGCAGAAUGCGGGGGGCGAGGGGCGGCAGUCCAGGCAGAACAUGUUGCACUCGCUGCGCGCCGCGUCGGCGUGGUCUGGGCACGCCGAGAAGAACUGCGUCGCCAGAAGCGGCUCCAGCCACGGCGGCACCAGCGUCGCCGCCGCCGCCGCCGCCGUAGAUUCCGCCGCCGCCGCCGCCGCCGCUCUUCUCAUUGUCAUCAAUUACGCCAAUUGAUCUCCGCUCCGACGGGCCGGAGCAAUGCCGAGGCAAUGCCGGACGAAAUUCGCAAGGUUAAUCACGAGCGCCCGCUCGAACAGCAGCACAGAGGCAACGAAAAGAAGCAACAACGCAGCGGCAAGAACAACAACAACAACAACAACAACAAAAAGCCUCAGACAAAGAGGAGGAGCGGAGAUAAUAAUAAUUAAUAAUAAUAAUAAUAAUAAUAAUAAUAAAAAAUAAUAAUAAAAGUAAAAAUAAUAGAAUGGGAGGAGAAGGAAAAAGGGGCGGAUGGGAUGGAUUCUGGGCCGUUGGAUGUGUAGACGGGGCCGGGUGCGGGGGGGUUUGGCGUACGCUACUUGGGAGGUGGUGUUCUUUGCGUCGCUUCGUAGGCGCUGCUACCGUCCGCAACAACGCUACGUAAUGCCAACCUGUCAAAGAUCCGCGGCUCCCUCGCAAACACGAAACAUCCGUAGAAUGCCACACGCGUGUGUACACGUCGCCCACACCGUGAGUUUUGAUUGGUCGGGAACCGUGCGACGGUGUUCGCACGCACGCACGCACGCGUUGCGUUGCGUUGCGUUGCGCGGGGGGUGGAAAAAGUGGGGAGUAGGGAAGCGUUUGGAGAAGGGGAGAGGCUAAAAAGUCACACGUGGAGAGUGGUGGGCGCAUGUGGCGUGUGACGUGGGAUUGCCAAGUGUCGCACGGAUCUUGGGAGUUUGCGGACUCCACCUUAUGCACCGCGUACUCCUUAGCGUACCCCAAACUCCUCCCUAUACGAAAAACAAAAAAGAACAGGGAAAAAUCCUAACCCUUUUAAAAGAACAAAAAUCUAUUAGAUACCACCCCCUUGGGCAUAUUUAUUUAAUUUGGUCUCUCCCAGAGACAAAAAAAUCAUUGUUUACAAUCAGUGCGUUUGUGUAGUCCUCCUCUACUAUUCUUUUCAUUGGUCCUUAACUUGACUAAAACAAGAUAUAAAACUGAUGGGAAGCGUACAUGUUCCGAAAUGUACAAAUUCAACAAGUGCAUGCAUUAAUUUCCUCGCACAAAAUAUUCAAACUAAUACGUUUGUUAAUUCACUCCCGAUUGCAUACUUUAACAAACGCUAGCUACUUAGAAUAUAUAGUCGUAUUUAUCCAAAUAGUUUUCAUAACGGUGAUUUAAAUUCCCACAUUUGUGUUUCAAAAUUAAUAGAAAUAGUAUCUAUCUAUCUCACUGUGUUAGCUACUCUACAUAUGUAUAAGCCCAAAAAAUAAAAAACAAAAAUACAAUUGCAUUAAGAUACACAUAUUUAUAUUUGUUUCGUUGAAUUUUUGGUGUUGUCGGUGAGCUCGGUCAACGUCAAUGUAGUUUUGUAUGAAGGUGGCUUGUCAAGUGCAAGGGCCAUUUAUGAUAAGCUGUUCACCCCAAUUGGAUUUGGAUACAUUCAUCCACCCAUUUAUUAAUUUCCCCAACCCAGGCCACAAUCAAUAAUAAUUAAUAAUUAAUAAUUAAUUCGUGGGAUUGAAUUAUUGUCAUUAUUUAGUUUUCCUAGCAUUGCAUUGCAUUUGUUGGAUUACCUAAACGUCCCCACUUAUUUAUUGAUGUCCCUUUUGUUACAAAAGAUUUUGUCAUUGUGUAGGUUCCAUGCAGGGACAUAUAGCUGUGACUUAGAUAGGGGUUACGAUCUCAUACAGGGUGUCAAAUGCAACAAAUAAAUUUAGGUUCGUAUAUGGGAUUAUACAUAUUUAGUUUUCGUGCAACGAUGCAAGGUAUUAACCAUCCCGGAUUAUUGUUGGAGGAAUAUAAUGAAAUCAAGCGGUCGGGAGUUGAAACCCUGAGUGCGUUUGCACCUAAUAUUUGCCACAUGUGGACCAUUCUAUGUAUAGAUGGCCUAUAGCACUGUAGAUGCACCGUUGACGUGGAUCGGUCCAAUUGAACAAAGAUUAUAAUGCUAAGCCUGAUCGAUUUGGGAACAACUGGUCCCUAUGUGUUCUAGGCCAGCUAGGCUAAAAUUACCAACCUAUACCAAUUCCCUUUUGGAGUCAAAAAUAAUUUGGAAAGUUAUAUCAAUAUUUUCUACACUUGUGCAUGCAUCACAUUAAUGUAUGUAUAUGGCACCAAAUUAAAUGACAUUUGAUAUGCACAAUAUUAAUAGCUAGUGCACACUCAUGGCCAUCAAUGCACUAAAUAAAGUGCCUUUUUCUUUUGCUCUAUGAGAGCAUAUCUUAGCUUAACCAAAUUAAUAAUAGAAAAAGUAAAAAUUUCCUUUUUGUUUAAUGAUAACAUUUUCUAAUGUUAUUAGCUAUAAGGGCCAAAAAAUUUCAUCAGUCCAUCAAAAGGGUGCCAUUUUUACUGAUUGGUUGGUUAGGAUGUCCCCUUCAUGAAUACACAAGAUUCUACUUUUUAGUCACUUAACACCUCUAAAAUAGGAAAGCUUCCACUCACUUUUUUCGCCUGCUUCUUCACCUUUUGUGUGUUAGGAUGUUACUAUCAUCAGGGAAGUGCCAAAAGUAUCAAAAGGAGUUGGGCCAUAUUCAUUUCUCAACCAACUAAUCAUUCUCCACUUUCAUAUUCAAAAAGAAGUGAUAAUGUGUUAGGGCUCCACCCUUCAUUGUUGGACAUCAUCUUCAGCAUUUUGACCUUUCUGUUUCGAACUUGAGUACCUAUAGUUUGAGUUGAGCAACUUGAGAUUGAUUUGUCACAUUCUCACAAUGAAUAAACAAUGCUUUAGCGCAGGACGUGACUGGUAUACAUCCUCGUUAGUUUUUAGGUCACACGCGUAUCCCUCAUCUGAUUACGCUCAAUUCUCAAACUAUUAAGUGAACAUAUACAUCUGAUUAGCUAACUCAUUUACGACAAAUGUUACUUUUAUAUAUAUAUAUUUCUAACAAAACAAAUAAUGGAUAGUCUUGCUAUAUAUUAAGAUAAAUCUAAAGAUACCAAUAUUUUAUGUAUCCAUAAAGAUUCUUCAAAAAUAUUGUUAAUGGUUUUUUUUUCUUUUUUAUGUAUUCUCAGUUUCUCAUGUGUGUUGCAAGCCACAUAUUGCCCCAACCAAAUCACUUUGUCACCCACAAAAUUGAAGCCACUUUCGCAUUUACCCUCUCAAUAAAUGAUAGGCACUGAGAAUACUUUUUGCUGGAACAUUUAAUUCUUUUUAUUCCCUAGAGAUUUUUUUUAGAUCUACUCAAGUUCACAAUUCCCAAGCAAAACGUACUCCUUCGCUGUUCAAGCAGCUUUUCUCAGAGAAAUACUCGACCCAUAAUGGCUAGCCUAGUGAUAUAGUAAUAAAUUAAAUUAAUAUUAAAUAAAUUAUUUAUUUGGUACAGAUAUAAUAUUUGGUAUUCUUUAGUAUUGACAAUUAAAUUAUAUAAAUGAUAUUAACAGUAUUAUUUUUAUUGAAACUAUAUUGACAACUAAAUUUAUUGAUUUAUAAAAUUGGGCUAAAAAAUCAGGUAUUGUACGGUUUGCUGAUUGAUCCAGUACACUAAUGCAGGUUUAACGUUGCGAAUUAAUUGGACUUUAUUAGCAAAAUUGUAUGCUUAGUUAAGCUUAACUUGUUGUCCAUGUUCAAUGAAUAUAUUAUCAGGAUAUUACUUUAUUCUCAUACAACAAAUAUAUAUUGAUCAUAUUCAAAACUAUAUUUUUAUGACUUUUAUAUGAUAAAGUAAUGGAAAUAAUCACCAAAAUUAAUGAAAACUUUUUAUUUUUAUUCUGUGGCAAUUUUGGUUUUUACGAAAUUCUUAAAAUCUAAUUUUUAAAUUUUAGGAUGGCUUUAAAUUUUUUGUUUGAGAUUUGGUUGGUGGCUUUUCAGAUUUUCUUUAUUAGGAAUUUGAUUGGAAAUAAAUCCGAAAACUUGUUACUUCCUUCAGUGCUAUCUAUUUUUAAAUUUCCCCCCUUUUUUUUUUGUUUGUUUGUUUUGGAAUACCAAUGUAUAAUGUACUUGCCCAUAAUUGUGAGUUGAUACACACAAAGAGGCUUAAUUUGUUUUUUUUUCUAAAUUUCUGUUUUAUAUCUUAUAUCUUUAUAUAACACAUACACAUCAUUGUGAUCAUCAUCAUCAGUUAUGUGUAAAACAAACAGCCCACUUUGGUUUUUUCCUUUUUUUUUCUUUUUUAAAUUAUUAUUAUAGUAUAAGGAACAAAGUACUCUGUUUUCUCCCCCUGUUCUCUUUCUCUGUAGACAAAGAAAAAAAGAGGUAAAACUCAAGGCUCAUUCACCAACCCCUCCUUUUCAUUAAUUUUCUCACUGGGUACUUUUGCUGAGUCAUAUUUUCAAUUGGGUACCCAUCCUUUUCAGUAUUUGCAAUGGUAAAAAUCCCACCUUUUCUCCUCCCCCUCCUCCCUCUCUGUCUCCUCCUCUGCUUCUCUCUGCUCCACCGCGCCGAUGCCUCUGGAACUGUUGAUGGAUCCGAGCACUGGGGAUACGUUCAAGUUCGACCAAGUAAAGUUAAACUCUCCAUUUUUCUUUUCUUUUUUCUUUUUUUUUUCUUUUGCUUUAUCACCAUUGUAAUUGAUCGAGCAAAAAGGUUUUUAACUCAUCUCUGUUUUUGUCUUUUUUUUUGUUGUAUGAACAAUGCAGGAGCACACAUGUUUUGGUGGCAUUACAGAAGCCCACAUAGGAUUGAGAAUGACUCAUCUCCAUGGCCAACAGUGUUGUGGCUGCAAGGGGGACCUGUAAAAAUCUCAACUUUUUUCGUUUUUGUUUUUGUUUUUGUUUUUGUUUACAUUGAUUAAAAAGAUGACAUUUUCACCAAUCAAAACACAUAACGACGGUAAUAACAGGGGGGCUCUGGUGUCGGCUUCGGCAACUUCUUCGAGAUUGGGCCAUUAGACAACAACCUAAAGCUGCGUUCCUCGACGUGGCUUCGCAAAGCCGAUCUCCUUUUUGUGGUAUUAAAUCUCUCUCCCUCAAGAGUUCUUCUUUUACAAGCUGUUAAUGAAUGAAUCUACAUUGUAGGAUAAUCCGGUGGGAACAGGGUAUAGCUUUGUGGAGGAUACAGGGCUCUUUGUGACAAGUGAUGAGGAAGCAGCAAUUGAUUUAACCACACUUUUGAAGAAGCUCUACAACAAGCAUGAGAGCUUGCAAAAAAGUCCACUGUAUAUUGUGGCAGAGUCUUACGGAGGCAAGUUCGCGGCGACGGUCGGCGUAUCGGUUGUCAAAGCCGUUAAAGCCGGAGAAUUGAAGCUCAAACUUGGAGGUUGGUAUUUGCUCUUUUUCAAUAUCAAUCACCUUAAAGAAGUGAAAUUUAAUGGACAAAUUUACUUUGCAGGGGUUGUUUUGGGAGACAGUUGGAUUUCUCCGGAGGAUUUUGUGGUGAGUGUUCACAGUUUGAAUCAAAUUCUCCCUCCAUUUCAAUUCAAUUCUUUUGUUUUGUUUUGUUUUUUUUUUUUGUGAUUAAAUUUGUAAUAAUGAAGUUAUCAUGGGGACCUCUUCUUCUCGACGUGUCGAGGCUCGAUAAAAAUGGCGCUGAGAAUUCAAACAGCUUGGCUGAGAAGAUCACAGUUCAACUAAAGAAAGGGCUUAACCGCGACGCAGAGAGAACGUGGGGCGAGCUCGAGGAUUUUAUCGCUUCGAAUAGUAACAAUGUUGUAAGUAAUCUAUGAUCUUCUAAUCUAGCAACAUGGAAAUUUCCCCGUAGUACUCAUUAACCUUUUAUGUAACAUAAUUUACAGGACUUCUAUAAUUUCUUACAAGAUGAUGAUUCCUCUGGCUCUAUAACAACUGUGGGAUCAUAUGAAGAAUCAUUCGCGAGGCGGUACUCGCGAUAUCUUAGCAUUAAGGCGGCGUCCUCGUCCUCGUCCUCGUCGUCGGGCAAUCUCCAUGAUCUAAUGAAUGGUGCCAUUAAGGAAAAGCUGAAGAUAAUUCCCAAGAAUGUGAGGUAGUAAUCUCUACUCAAGAACCAAAAUGUGUAGAUGUUUUAAUUUACCAAAAAUUCAGUAAAGAAGAUGAGGAGGAAUUUUGCUUUGAUUGAUUGUUUCUCUGUUGCAGCUGGGGAGCACAAUCUGACGAUGUGUUUGAUGCGCUCAGAAGUGAUUUUAUGAAACCAAGGAUCAAGGAGGUAAACAAGUCAACUAUUUUAUGUUAUUUUGUUCCAUGUGUGUUUUUUUUAAAAAAAAUUAUUGUAUUCUUUUUGAAAAUCUACAUUUGCAGUUAUCAAAAUAACAAAAGAACUAAGUCAAUUGCCUAGCUAAAAUUUCUGCUUGUGAUUUUGUUGUAUUUGAUACGAUUUCGUAUUUUAUGUAGGUUGCUGAUAUUACCUAAUACCAAUUAUAGUCCUAAUAUAUAUUUAUCUGUAAAUGUAUAUAAUGAAUAGUUAUUGCUUUAUGCUUGUAGGUUGAUGAGCUUCUUUCUCAAGGUGUCAAUGUCACCAUAUAUAAUGGACAGGUACUAUUUAUUCAUUUCCAUAUUAAAAAAAAAAAAAGAAGAAAAAAGAAAAAAAAAAUUGCUUAAUUUGAAGUAUUGGAAUUGGAUUCAUGUAAUUUGUGUUUUAUGAUAUUGAAAUGAGCUUGAAAUUUUUGUGAUAGCUAAAUUAUUUUAAUGUCAAAUAUUGGAGUUUCCUUUGGUUUAGCUUAUUGCACUCUUUUUCCCUUUAUUCAUGCAUCUUAAUUGUACAAAAUUUGGUUUUCCAGUGGCUAUGACUUUAACAUACUUGCACCAUAAUGGAUGCAUGCAUCUAAGAGCAAGUAACAGGAAAAUGUGAAACUAAAACUUGUGAACAAAUUGCAAGCUAGGAGUAAGCUAUCAUUCAAGAAAAUGAUGCUCUAGUUCUUAAUCAAGGAACCAUUUAUUGCGCAAAAGUUAAAAAUUCCCUCGAAGAAUCUAAUCACAACUAAUAAUCAUUUCUGAUCAACCAUGCUGACAAAAAAUAUAUUAUAUCGAUCGUAUAGUUAACUGAUAAAAUUGGGCAUUUGUGCUUCUGUGAAGCUUGAUUUGAUCUGCGCAACCAGAGGAACAGAAGCUUGGGUUCAGAAGCUCAAGUAGGGCUACUAUUUUUUUUUUCUUAUUUUCAAAAUUAAAUUCAUAACAUAAAUUUAGGAGCGGAUAAUGGACCGCGAUUCUCAUGUUUUACGCUUUUCAGAUGGGACGGGCUGACGGAUUUCACCGGCGCGAACAGAAAGGCUUUGUAUUGUGAUGGUAAUGAAGCAGGAGCCACCAAGGGCUUUGUCAAGUCCCACAAGAACUUACAUUUUUAUUGGAUCCUCGGAGCAGGUCAUUUUGUAAGUAUUUUCUAGGAUCAUCAAAGUUUUUUCUUUAUUUUAAUUUUAACUAUUAACUUGUAAGCAUGAGUGCUUAAGUUUCCUCCCCUGAUAUGUGGUAAAAAAGAAAAAAAAAAAAAAUCUCACUGCACAUUGUAUUUCCAUUCUACAAGUAAGUGAUUACAACAAACCAUUACUAACUUCAUUUUAAUUAUCUUCUCGAGCAUACUUAUGAGAGACAACAAAGUAUGAACUUUGUCAUGCAUAUUAUGACAUGUGAUGGUACAUGUAAUAAACAAAAUUUGAACCACCCAUGAAACAAAUCAAUGCUUGUCACUCAUUGAUUUCUUGUGUGACAUCCAAACUAACUUUGUUUGACUGAGUCAGUAUCAUGUAUUAUCAGCAGUAAGAUUAAAUGCAGCAUCUGUUCCAAAGCUUGUGAUAACUAAUUCUAGGUUUGUUCCCUUUGUUGGUGGUUUCCUAUCACUUAUAGGGCUCUUUAAAUGAUUCAAUUAAUGGUCCCUCAUGUGGAGGUUGGUAACUUAGGGCAAAGAUAGAUGGACAACCCCUUAACUACAUGCCAUGGUUUACACCUCUAGUUGGAUUUAUUGUUCGAAGUUGAAUCGCGUGCGUUUUUGUUAAUAUAACAGCUUCAUUAGCUAUCAACUAUUAAUGACUAACACAAAAUCCACAAUUCUAUUGGUUCAAAACUCACUCAGAACAAGCAAUUUUGUUAAUAUAUAUAUUUCUGUACUCGUUUCUUACUAGAUCGAUCUUUAAGAUAACAAAAUAUUGGAGCUAUAUCUAAGCCCCCUUCAUUUUGUGAGAUCGUAGAUUUAAUCUGCACCUUCAGCAUGCAUUAUCUAAUACUCAUUUUAAUUGUCAGUUAUUAAUUUCACGUGCCUUUUAUAUCCAUCACGUAUGUAAGUGUAAGUAAUAAUAUAUAUAUAUUUAUGGCCCCGUAUUUACUAGUUCGAUCUUUUGAAUAACAAAUUCAACAUGAAAAUAAUUGAGAUUAACAAAAUUUCUAAGUUAAUUUAUUUUUAUUGAGUUUAAGUGGUAUUUUUGAAUACAACAGAGUUGAAGAGUUGUAGGUACAUUUUCACUGUGCCCUUUUUUUUCUUUUGGGGAGGACACUCAGUACUGGCAUUUAAAGCUGAGAGGUUGGAUUUUCUCUACAAAAGGGGUGGCAGCAAAUGAACAGCAUUUCUAUGUUAAAAAAAAAAAAAGAAGAAAACUCUGUAAAUAAUUUGAUGACCAAACACUAGAAAAUGCCCAAAAAGGACAGGAGCAGGUGGAUGUAGCAGCAAUUUAUAAUGUAGAAGGGCCAGUUCAUUGAAAAGUAUUCUAAUUGUUUUUGAUGUCUCUCAUACUGGCAGGUACCUGUGGACCAGCCUUGCAUUGCAUUGAAGAUGCUGGGUGACAUUACACAUUCUCCAGCUACUGCUUCAUCUCACUGAGGGGGUCAAAGAAAAUAAUAAAUUCUUCUGACAAAAAUAACAAUUUUUUUUUUUUUAUAGUAGAAAUGUAAGUUUGAUUGUUUGAUUGUUUGAUGGACAAAUACAUAAUUUUAUUGCUUUUCUUCUUUGGAUAUUCUUUGUGAUUGGAGGAAAAUGUGGAAAUGCUUGUCAAAGUUGGUGGCUGUCAGGCUGGACAUUGCUGGACAAACAUAGUUCUUACAGAAUAGAUUAUGGAGGAUGCAAUUUCUGUGCACUGCUUGAUCUGACCGUCCAUCUAGAUGGAGAACAAUCCCAGCAUUUUACCAAUUGACAGAUUUGGAGUGAUUUCAAGUGAUUGUAAUAAUGUAUUCGACAUAUUUGGCGGCAUGUCGCAUUGAUUGGUCUGAUUAAAUUGCCCAGAAUUAGUUUAUGAGGCCAUUUGAGCAUUUUGAGUUAUUGACGAGUUCAGAUCAGUUUUUGUGUCUUAAAAGUAGUACGUAUGUUCGGCUACAAACUUUCGGCUCUUGCAAGACUUCUUUGCCGGAAGCAGAAAUUCCAAGAGCCAAGGGAUCUGCCAACAUACUAGUUUUAAGUCAGAACUAGGAACUCUUAUGUUGGUUUAGAUUAAUAUUUGAACCUUCUAAAUAACAUAACAUCCAAAUUAAAAGAAGAGUUCAAAUAUAGUAUGCAGAUGGAUUGGUUGCUAUCAAAUAGAGCACUAAAUGUACAUGCUACAAUGUACAAUGCUACAUUGUCUACAAACACUCUCUCUCUCUCCUCUUCAUCUUCAUUUAUCUAGGACCCAAGGUAAACUUAACAAGCAUUUGCCAAAGGACCUAUACAAGAAGCAGUAAGUAAAACCAAGUUAGCCCAACUUUUUCUCUGUAGGAUAUGGGUGGCAGGAAAAUUUUUACAGUGUGGAUUAAACUGCACAGGAAAUACAUCAGAAGAGCUCUCUCCAUACAGUGACAGAAGAAAUCAUUCCCAGCCCAUUAACAUCUUUGUUACUUCCUGGACUAUCUUGCUCGGCGACACGGAGAGCUCGUGAUCCUCGCCGAGGUGAAUUCGGUACACUUCCCACUCCCUAUCACCCACAACAUGCCUCCCAAUCUCGGCCUGGUUAUACAAAUAUAUGUAUUUUAAGUAAUGCCUAGAGGGGUAUAGCAGAAAAACACAAAGUACUAGCAGAAUUACGAAGAAUGUAGAGGGGAAUCACAGUACCAAGAAGAUCGGAAUGCGAAGUAUUUUGAGGGCGAGAGUGAUGUCGUAGAAAACUAGGGGACGGCCCUUGCCGGAUAAUUCGACCGGGUUUGCCACUAUAAGCUCCAUGUCGGGCCCUCGGCUCACGAUGGUCACGCGGAGUGGCCGGAACAGCUCCAUUCUCAAGCGAGAGCACAGCGCCUGUUGCUUGUUCGGGUCGACGAUUUUCUUACCAUCUACUUGCACUGCGAACAAGUCUAUCUCGCAGUUCCCAUUUUGACUGGUAUAGAAUCGUCCGUAAGAUAUCUGACAAAAAAAGAAAAAAGAAAAAAAAGAAAACCUGUAUCUGAAUUUGCCAAAAAUAAAAAAGAUAUCAGUAACUAAAUGGAUGAAAUGGCCAUGAUAAUCCUAUCUUUGUUUGGAUUUCACUUGGUACCUUCACUAUGGCCAAGUAAAUGUAUGUUCAUGCCGUGUGUAAUACGUGCUAAAUGUCUAUUUUGCAGGGUGUAUAUGCGAAAGAAAAUAAAAAUUCAUGUGAUGUCCUGUUUACCUGUAUGUUGUAAUCCUUGAGAGUCCUCAUGAUGUCGUAGAGGAUUCCCUUGUGGUCACCACACUGGAUCUGAAUAAGUGAAUGAGCGGGACUCAGAGAGUUGUCCAUCGUGACCGAUAUGUUCUUACACGUGGACGGAGACUCUUCCCUUCGGGAUUGUUCUUCAGGAAGCUCAAGUGAGAACAUCCGAUCAGUGAUCGACGGCGGUAAGGUAGAAGAAGCUUGAACGCAAGCAGACAUGUCUGCUCCGGCUUCUUCGAUCUCGCAACUCAUCAUCGAGCCCCCUAAAACAGUUCUCAGUUGAUUACAUGCCUCCUCCCUUUGGCUCUUCAUAUGAAGUUGCUCCCUGAAGCCAAUUUUGUAUUAUUAGCAUACGAUUAUCUAAGAGUUUGAUUAAUAAAUGGACUGUUGACACAGUACAGAGAAAUAAUUUUUCUACACUAAUCUUCGAUGUAGCAACUUAGCUGUUUAACACUUCUCCAAUGAAAUAACAAGGAAAAAGAAAUGGCAUUUAAUGUACGGCGGUUUAGAUUAACAGAACCAUGAGUUAUAUAAUCCUUAUUCUUAAAGUAAAUUCUAUAACCAUUAUUCAAUUGUUAGUGCAUCAGGGGGUCCUCAACCUUAAACAACAGUUUAAUUUUGGUACUCAACCUUUAAGUUGCUACAUUGUGGUUCCUCACCUUCAUAUAUCCUCUCACAAUCUUAGUACUUCAGGUAAAAUUUUCUCUUCAAAUGGAGGAGAUCUCCGCAAGAGCUAUAUGUAACUGCCCUAAGGCAACUUUCAUAUUCACAAAAAAGAUAAGGUAAUAAUAGAAUGCAAAAGGUUAAAAGGAUCAAAUCGCAGCAAUUUAAAGGUUGAAUAGCCAAUCUGAAACCACGCUAAGAGGUCGAGAUCCCCUAGUCCAAUUGAGGCAAAGAGAAAAAUGUUAUCCACAUGUAGAAAAACAGGACAAAAUUAAACAAGGAUAAUAUACGACCUCGUGUCUGUAAUGAAGAAGAGGUCGAGAACUCGCCCAUCCGGUGUGGUGGACACCUUCACCCUCCUGAUUGUCAGCUCAAGCUCACAUAAUACUUGGGUCACAUCUGUCCACAAGCAUAUAAUUCCUUAAAUAUCUUCUUAUUAUGUGACUUCUUCUUUCUCUUCAAAAGAGGCUAAAAAAAAAAAAAAAAAAAAAAAAAAUCGCAUUCGAAACCUAGCAAUAAUAUAGAAAGAGACCUUCAACAGAGGUAACCAAACUUUAGGAACUAGUCAACACUACAGAUCUUAAGAACCCAGUAACAUCCAAUUGAAAUUGUUGCUUCUCAAUCUGAAAUUUGCUAAUUUUGUUAGAUAUCAUAACAGAAAAAAAAACACCCCCCUCUAAACUAAAGAAAAGAAGUUGAUAUACUUUGUUUUCCCCAUUACAGUAUAUAUUCAAAACCCAUAAAGGGAUAAGCUCAAAUGCUCCAAAAUCCAACAACAAAAAAAGGACCCAAAAAAGAGAGAAACAAAAUCCUAAAGAGAAAGAUGGGAAAAAAAAGUAUAUCAACUUCUUUUCUUUANAAAAAAAAAUAGAGGAAAUUUACCAUGCAAGAGAUCCAAUCGAUCAUAGCAUGAGAACUUGAGGAGAAACACCUGUGGUUGUUGCACCAUGGACACCAUCUCCGGUUGCCUUGAGAAGUAGGUUUCUAUCACCAGGGGUGAGCUCACCACGGGGCAAACCCCCAUGAGCCUCUUCUUAAGCAAACCCCACCUCGUCUCCUUCCCUCCUCUCCCCACAACCCAGAACACUAUGAAACACCACUUCCCAUCCGUGCUCAUAUCUACACGAAAUAAAAGGGGGUGGGGGAAAAAAAAAAUCUAAUUUUUAGUGAGAAAAUUGAAACUUGUGGUAAGAUUAUUUAUCAAAGUUUCCAAUCACACCAAUCUUUUGAUAAUACGGUAUCAUCGCCAAUCCGCAACUAAAAGAUCGAUACGAUGAAAACGACUCUCACGUACUGUAUUAUCCAAAAUAAUCUGAUAAAAACAGUUUAAAAAAUAGCUUUUUUUGGGGUAACAAUUUGCAGGGAUUUCGAACUGGGCAUCACAUUUUAGACACAAAGAAGGAAAUUUUAACACAAAUUGGGGACAAAGACGCAAACUUUGACACCAAAAAUCACAUCAAAAAUCAAAAUUUUUAAUUCGGAGGGAAAAGGAGGGGGGGGAAAUGGGUUCACCUCCACGGACGAUGCUCAAUCCGAAGAGGAGGAUCACACGGCAGAGAUCGCAUCCGAGCCCCGUCUUAUCGGGGCAACUAACGGUGAUCACGCUGGGCUCCCCGUCCCUCUCCGGCUCCCUGAUCAGCACCACGUCGUCGCUCGGCAUACCCAUCUCAUCAAUCCCCUCUCUCCUCCUCCUCCUCCUCCUCCUCCUCCUCCUCUUACGGCUUUUGAAGCUGCUUCUGUGCGCAGCGCUUUUGGGUUUCGCCCCCUGUUUUGUUUUGACGCGUUUCUCUCUCUCUCUCUCUCUCACUCUCUCUCCUCCUAUGGGGUGGGAGAGGAGGCUUUUGAUUCUAGUGGUGGGAUUUGGCGUGAGAUUCGAAUAUAUCCAUUAAAGAGCUCGGAGAAAACUAUGGAUCGAGAGAGAGAGAGAUAGAGAGAGAGAUGGGGAGGGGAAUCAGGGGAAGGUGCCGCAUAGAGAUCUCUCUGCGUUCGCUUUUGUCCUUAGCUGUUGUUUUCUAUCCGCUGUUUGCUAUACUCACCCCGGAUUUUUUUUUUUUUUUUUUGCUAAUUUCAUACAAGUCCUGCAAACAUAAUAAAUUACAAAUAUAUUCAUAUAAAGUUUAAUUUUUAUAUGUUAUUCCUAUAAAAAUUCUGAUGUUUUCAAAUAUAUCCCUUUGGUUUGUUACUGUUAGAAAACUAUUAGAAACUGUUUAUAUUUUCAAUUUUAUCAUUAUAAAUAUAUUUAUUCAAAAGUUAUAACAGUAUAAUAUAAAAAAAUAAAAUGUCAAAAUAAACCAGCAUUAAUACUUAAUCUAUAGUUAACUAAAUUUUUCUAAUGAAUUCUAACGGCAAUGACAUAUUUGAAAACAUCAAAACUUUUGUAGAGACAACAUAUGAAAGUUGAACUUUAUAGAAAUAUAUUUGUCAUUCACUAUAUUUGCAGGAACUUGUAUAAAAUUAACCUUUUUUUAAAAAAAAUUUCGCUUCUUCUUCUCAAUGUGCCAUUUAACUUUUGUCUCAACUAACUUAUUAGUAUAUAAAUUUUCCACUAAUUUUAAUUUUAUAUUCUAUCGCUAUCUUGAAUAAUUUUAAAAUAUCAAAAUGAGAACUAAAAAUUAAUGUGAAAUCUUACAAAAAUAGGAUCAAUAAACUAUCAAUUUAGAUAGUUCUAAUAAGAAAUACAAGUUUUUUAUUUUAUUUUCAAUUUAUUGUGUAAUUUAGGACUAUGAAAAAUGCUUUUAUAUAGAACUAGCAUAACAUUUCAAACUUAUCCAUAUGAAUUUUCAAGUGAAUUCAAUAAUUAUUCUUAAAUUUUGUAUUAUAUUAAAAUAGAGCAGAAUAAAAAUUGAUAUAAUUUUUUAUGCAAGAUAUAAUUUAUACACAGAUUAAUAUACGAAAGAAAUUUUUGAAAUCAUGAACUAUAAGUCACAAUCAAAUGUUACAGCAAAAAAAUCUUUUUUAUCUAGAGAUUGCUUUUGAAAUUUUGAAGGACUUUAGCGUUUGACUAAAAGAGUAGAAAUAUAAAAUAAUAACAGUAAAAGGAACUUAUCAAUAUUGAUAGAACAAUUCUAUUUUAUUUAUAAUUUAUGAGUUUUUGUUAUAUUGACUAUUAGUACAAAAUGUAUAAGAUAUAUUUUUAUAAAAAAGAGUACCAAUCAUAAGUUCUUUAAAAUAAGUACUUAUAUGGAAACAUCUAAAUAGGCGAUGGAUUUAAAUAAUUUCGCCACCCCAUGAAUUGCUUUGUUAGCCUUAUUUAAUAAGCUUAUUUGUAAGGAGAGAUUUGCAUUUAAAUAAUAAUUUGUACAUCAAUAAGAAGUUAAAAUCGAUAAAUAAAAGAUUACAUAGAAAAUUAUAAUAAAUUGAAGCUUAGCUUAACAAUAAAAUAAACUAGAUAGUACUCUCAACAAAUAUUGCCAAAAAAUACAAGUUUAUUUUUUUAAGAAUUAGGAGUUGGGCCUCUAAAACCAAUUUUAUGUGAAAACUUUUGUCUCUCUCCAUCCCCACUCGUGUUUUUACUAGCAAAAAUUUCAAUUACAAAUAGUAAAUGAAAACAAAAAAAUUGAAAGAAAUAAAAUUUUGCCAUAUAACAAAACACUAUUUGAUCAUCAAAUUUUCCUCAACUUUUCAUUUUUUUUAUCUUCCAUUCUUUUAAUUUUUAAAAAUCCAUCAAAUCAAUAAAAAUUAUUAUAUAGUAAGAUUUUACGCCGAAAUAAUAAAUAUUAAUUGGUGCUGAUGCAAUAAUUUAUAUUGGAAUUAACAAAUCUUUUAACAUUAAAAACUAAAUUAAAAUAAAUAAUAAAUAUAAAAAUUUUAUUAUUUAAAAAAUUAAAAAUUGAAACGAAAUUAAGAAAAAUGGAUUAAAGAUUAAUUAAUUAAUUAACUCAUCACACAGUGGAAAAAAAAAGGGAAAUUUUGGUGGGUAAGAAUAUCAUACUUGUUUAGAAAAUUAAAUACAAAGAGUAAGUGCUUCUAGAAGAGUUGGCACGUGACAGGUUGGCCCUUGACCACUUUUAGCUAAUCCCAAAAGCGCCAAUCCAACGAACUCCAAAUCGAACGGCUCUGAUUUCGUUUAGAGCACUAAGCGAGCGGUCCUGAUUAGUUCAUCAAUCGAGAGUCCACGUGGCGCGUAUCCGUGAUGUCCCAUUUGCGAGGUGAUUCGGAUCGAAGACCACUCCGACAUGUCGCUAUCAUUAAUUAUUACAUGCCCCCCUCAACUAUUUCACGUUCUGAAAAUGCGCCUUCAACUUUAUUUUUUUAAUUCGAAAAUAUACUUUUAAUUUUUUGAAUCAAAACAAUUAAUAAAUGAUAGCUAAUAAAGGUGAUGAAGAAAAUAAAAGUUUCGACUUAAUUAAUUAAAAUAAUUUAAUUUUAAAACUCACAGUUUGAACUUGCCUAUAAAAAAGGGUAAAUUUUAUUUCUAGUCUUUGGUCUUUAUUUUAUUUUAAUUUAUACAUUUUGAGGAUAUUUUAUGUUAAUCUUUAUUAUAAAGUAAAAAUUGCUUAUGGCAUCUCAUUUAUUGGUAUGUUUCAUGCACUUCAAAAUUUAUAAUUUUUUAAAUCUAUUAUAUAGUUUCACUUUAAUAGUAUAUUUUAUAUAUAGAGAGAGAGAAAAAAAAUUAUAAUUUAUUAGAUUGUAGAUUAAAAAUUAAAAGUCAAAAAAAUGUAUGUCGUAAAGAUAUACAGAUGCAGCCGGUGUAGAACUUGAAGUAAAAUUCUUUUUAAAAGUUUGGAGACGCAACAAUGUCAGAUUUUGAAAGUUUGAGGAUCUGAAACAAAACGUUAAGGGGGCUAUUUUAGAAUAGCAUAUGCUUGAGGGAUCUCAAUGCAUGUUUACCGUACUACAUCACGUAGAGGGCGUCAUCGCGCGCCACGUGUUUAUUUCGUCAUGGGCGCUCUUUUAUGUCCGAGCCGACCAGCUCCUAAUCACAUGCUACACUUUUCAUGUAUUUUAUUAUUAUUACUUGUUAUCAAUAAAGUUUCACUAAUCCAUUAUUAACUAUAUAAUAUUAUUUUAGUGCAUUAUUAACUCAGGUUUAUCCAGUGAAUAAUUACCUGAGGACUCGUGGUCAUUCUAAAACUUAAGUAGAACAGUAAAUAUAUAAAUUUUUGUUGGUAUUCGGUAGUUUUUAUUUAUAUGAUUUAGAUAUCUGGUAUUACUAUAUUAAUUUUUAUAUAAAAGAACUUUUCACCGGAUUCGCCGAAAUUUGAGCUUACCUUCAUAGUUUGAAUCUCAUUUUAAUUGGAUUUCCAUCGAAACUUAAUAGGCCGGAUUUAAUAAUUCUGAUAAUUAUUAUAUAUUUUAUAAGAAUCAGAUUUCAGUUCUUAUUUUAUUCUGUAAUAAAAAAAGACCUAAUUCAUUUAUGACUUCAUCAAGUUCUGAGUCAUGAACCAACUCACUUCAAAGUAAACAUCUCUCCCUCUUCAUGAUUGAUUGCUCUUCUUUCAUAACCAAAACUCUUAUAUCCAAAUUCUAAAUAUAACAUUUGUUUAUUCCAAUUUUUAUUUUAAUAAUAAAUUAAAUAUUUUUAAAUGAUUCGUCGUUUUACUUUUUUCAUUCUAAUAUAAUUUAAUUUAACUUUUUAUUUUCAUUCUAAUCAUGAAUCGGACGUGUUCUUAAAUUCUUCGGAAAAAAAAAGAAAAAAAAAAAAGCUACUUUCAUGUGAAUGCAUGUGGCUACGUUCUAUUCUUACUAAAUUAGCCGAAUAAAUAAUGAGCAAGAUCCCAAUAUUUAGCCGACCAAAACAAUUUAAUUAAAUGUUGAAUCUCUAGAGUGUUGUAGCUAGGAUCUCUAUCAACCUAAGACAAUUGGGGGUUUUUUUUUUUAAUUGUAUCAUAAUUAGACAAAUCAGAAGAAUUUUCAACCUAAUGCAAGUUGGUGAUGGCAACUAACCCAAAUGGCCAAAGAUUGGGACAGGAGGCCUCCCAGUACUAGUGAUCCAUAAAUGUUACUGUCCUGCCAUCUUCUAUUGUCCAAAACUAAAGCUUCAAAAAAAAAAAAAAAAAAAAAAAAAAAAAAAAAAAAAAAAAAAAAAAAUCCUUCUAUGCUUGCUCUCAAAGAUUUUCUCCAAUAUUAUUAUUGUGUCAAUAGUCACAUGCGACAUACAUCCAAAUUAGCUGAUCAACUAUAUGUACACUUUGAUUUAAAUAUCACCAGUUCAUGAAUGAUACUUUCAGAAUCACAUAAAAAAAUAUGAAAAGGCUUAUUCUAAUACAUGAACAACUUAAUAAGUAAUACAUAUUUUUGUGCACUUAAAGAGUCUCAUAGGGAUAUAACAUAAGUAUUCUCUAAAUUAUUUUUUUCAAAAUAAAAUAAAUUAUUUUAUAUGUGAAAUGUAUUAUUUUAAAAAAUUUAUGACUGCGGAAGCUUCACAAUGGACUAAAAGUAAACUCCCAAAUUACAAUUUCAAAAAGAAUAAACUUUCCUGCCGCAAAAGUUAUUUUAUAUUAGAUAACUUAUCUAACGCCAAACUGGCUAAAAAUAUUUUUCGACUUGUAUUUGUGCAAAAGAAAUGCUUUGGAUCCGCUAGAAUUAAUGUCGAUCUUAUAAACUACAGAUAUGUUGACAAACGCAUAAAGCAUCUUUUUUGGAAAAACAUGUAUACAUACAUUUCUUUUGAAUAAGUUCAUAGAUUUCAAGUGGCAAAAAAAUUUGGUAGUUGAUAUUCGAAACUCAAGUUUUAAUCCUAAUUGAUUCACAUUUUCAGCUAAGUUUAUUUCUAAUAAAAAUAAACGAAGCGAAUAGUAUGCUACCUUUCUCUCUCUCAAAAAAAAAAAGAAAAAGUUCAUAGACUCCAAGAGCCAAAAAAUCACCCUAUACACAUAUAUAAAAAUUAUUUUUCUUCAAUCGUCUUACGACCCUAUUUAUAAAUUCACGGGCGGAGAUCGUUUCCCAAUAUCUUGGAUCAGUGUCUGUGGUAACAAUUACUAGGCUAGUCGGCAAUUCUUUAGUUUAACUUAUAAGAGCAAUUACUAGGUUAGUCAACAACAUAUCGUACUUAGCGCAAGUGGCAAAGAGCUGGUGUUUGGUACCCGAGGUUCUAAGUUCGAAUCUUAAUUGAUUCACAUUUUCAACUAAGUUUAUUUCUAAAAUAAAAUAAGUGAAGCGGGUAGCAUGCUAUCAAUCUCUCAAAAUAAAAACUUAUAAGAGCAAUAUUUUAGAAAGACCGGUCAAUAAUUAAAGCACUCAGCAAGAAGAAGAGUUGCAUUGUGACAUUAGGAAUUAUUUGGAAGCAGAAAGCUAGAAAACAAAAAUUUUAUGGGUUUUACAAACUCAAUUUUAUCUCUUAGGCCAUAUUUGGAUGGAUAGUUAAAAAACUCCAUGAAAUUUUUAUUCUAUGAUUUUGGUUUAAAUGAAAUACGGAAUCCUAUAACUAUAAAAAAAUUCCACAGCUUCAUUUUUAAGCUUUUUGGAUACAUAUCAUAUAAUUCCACAGUAUUUAUAACAAUUUAAUUUCUAAAAUUUUAAAAUUUUAAAAUUCAAAAUUCAAAAUUCAAAAUUUAAAAUUUAAAAAUAAAAUUUAAAAAAUUAAAAUUCAAAAUUCAAAAUAUAAAAUUAAAAUUUAAAAUUUAAAAUUAAAAAAUUAAAUUAGAUUUUAUGUUUUAAAUUUGAAAUUUGAAAUUUGGAAUUUGAAAUUUCAAAUUUGAAAUUUGAAACUUUAAAAUUUAAAAUUUAAAGUAUACCAUUUAAACUUUAAAUUUUGAAAUUUAAAAAAUAUAUAAUUAAAAUUUUAAAUUUUAAAUUUAAUAAUUUAUAAAUUUACAUAUUUAUAAAUUUAAAAUUUAAAAUUUAAAAUUUAAGUUUAAAUUUAAAUUUUGAAAAUUAAAAAUUAAAAAUUAAAAUUAAAAUUAAAAUUUGAAAUUUGAAAUUUGAAAUUUGAACUUUUUGAAAUUUGAAAUUUGAAAGUUGAAAUUUGAAAGUUGAAAUUCGAAAUUCGAAAUUCGAAAUUCGAACUUUUCGAAAUUCGAAAUUUGAAAUUUGAAAUUCAAAAUUUGAAAUUUGAAAUUUAAAAUUUGAAAUUUGAACUUUUUAAAAUUUGAAAUUUAAAAUUUAAAAUUUAAAAUCAAAAUUAAAAUUAAAUUUUAAAAUUUUUAAAAUUUGAAAUUUAAAAUUUUAUGUUAAAAUUUAAAAUUUAAAAAUUGAUACAUCUUUAGGAGCCCAAAAGGUGGAUAUUUUUUUUUUUUGGUUAAAGUGGGUUGUAAGUUUAUUCUAUUUUUUGGAGUAUAGUAUAAUUAUACUCGUCAUUUUUUUUCUUCCAAACGCUUUAUAGGAUUAUUUUCCUACCGGCGUAACAUAGUUUAACUGUACUAUAUUUUUAAAGGUAUCCAAACGGGGCCUUAUUCUUAAAAAUGAAAAGGCGGAUCUUCGUAUAUUUAUAUGCGGGAGUUCGAAUAAUCUUACGAUUUCAGUAUCAAAGCAACUGUUGAUGCCCAGGAUCUUGUCGAUUUCACGAAUUGACCCCUUAGAUCCAAAAACACAAACAGACCCUACACAGUAAAUAAGACUAACUAAUUAUACGAUCUUACUAAUCUUAAUCCUUGGGAAUCUAAUCUAAUAAUAGUCUUUGGGUCAAUUUGUCUCCCAACGAUGUUCGCGCGGAUCUGCUGCAGAUCUUGGAGACAGGCACGUGCGAGGACGGCUGGGCGAGGAUUGUUACGUGUCCCUCCCCUCAAUCCUAUCCAUAUAUUUUGGUAUAAAAUAAUUAGAUGUUUAAUAAUAUCCAUUGUACCUAGAUUGCGAUGUGAAUAUUCUACGGCCCCUAUUUAUAGGCCCUAACACAUAUUCAAAGUUUUUUUAAAAAAACAAAUGUGUCGGUAGCGAACACGGGAAUAGAUUCUCUCAUGUUGAAGUACACAAUCCAAGCGCAACUUUUUUAUUCAGAGGAACUAAUUUAGAUCAAGAAAUUGAGUUAAACUAAGGCUUGGUUCUGGAAAUAUUGGCUCCAGGAAAAGUUUAGCUCUAGAUCAAUUUUAAUAGUUGUGGCAAUUGAAGAUCGAACUCUCAAUUUUGCAAAAUAAUAAAAGAAAUUAGAAAUAAUUCUAGUAUAAUUCUAGUAUAAUUCUGAUAUCAUAUUAUCAUUGAUGGUCUCUAAUACAAGUGAUAAAGAAUAUGAUAAUUGAUACACGAGGUUUCUAGUUCACAGCCUAAUUAUUUUUUAUUUUCAGCUAAGUCUAUUUAUUUUUUUUAAAAAAAUAAAACGGAUAGCAUGCUAACUUUUUCUAAAAAUAUAUAAUAUCAUGUUUUUUAAAACAUUAAUUUAGUAAAAAGCAAUAGAAAAAUAUAAAUGUUUACUAAUUACGUCGCAAAAUAGUGGAAAUUAGAGGAAGAGUAUACAUGAACAAAUGGGAGAAGCCCCUGCAGAUUUUAAAUCCUUUCAAUUUUACUUAAUUAGAUUCAUAAUUUAAGGGAAUUUUGAUUUGUCCGUAAUAAAAAAAAUGCUGUACAUAUAUAUAUAUAUAUAGAAGAAGUGAAUUCACCAUAAUUAAUACUAAUAAUAAUGGAUAAAGCAUAAUGAAAAAUUAAAGGAUUACGUUGUCGACGUACACCAAUCAAAUUAAGCGUUACUUAAGUAGCAAAUUACCCCCCAUUUACCCCGUUGUUUAACACCGAUCGACAAUGGUACAAGAUCGGAAAGAGAAAGGAAACUUCGUGCACGAUGAAAACGAAAGAAGAGAAGAGAAAAGCACUUCCUAAAAAGCACUUCUAAUUAAUUAGAUUUAAUUAAGAAGAAUGGUAGUGAACAUUGUUUUCGGUUGGUGUUAGUAUUUUAAUUUAGCCAUUUGGACUUUAAAGGCAAGCAAAGCUUAUUUAGGAUGUAGCUUUAGCUUUUUUAGGUUUUGCUUUGGCUUCAGCUUUUCGCAUAAGUUAAGCAGUUUGAGUGGAAGUAGGGACAUGGUGUGGACUCUCCUCGUUGGUGGUCAUAUGGUGCAACACUCAUGUGAUUGAUGUUGAUGGAAACAUUAAGCUCGAGUGGAUAGGUUUCACUUCACUAGUGAGACAAAUGUUUUAUAAAAUAUAUAUAUAUAAAAUAAUCUGAAAUAACCAUCACUGUGUAGCAUUGAGGAGUUAAUUAUCUACGGUGCAAUUUUUAAGAUCAGCAGAUUCAAAUCUCUGCAUGUGCGUUAUGAUUCCUGAGAAUCUUAAGAAUUAGGAGCCUACGCACAACUUUUAAUACUGUUUACGUUUUCUUCUUUAGAGGGCACAGAGAAUUUGGGUUCUAAACAUUUCAUGAGUAUCAUAUGCCAAGCCCAAGGCCAAUUUGUUGGGCUUGUUUCGUAGGUUUGGAUUCUCACACUGAACAAGGCUCGGCCCGAUCCAACUACGCUUCUCGCAAUAAUUAAAUUGAUUUUUGAGUUCGGUGAACUCAAAUGAAUUAGAUUUGGAAUUAAAUUUUGUUAUUAGGAACAAAAUUGUGAUGGGAUUGAAUUUCUCUCUAUAGUAAGCACGAAAAUAAAACGAUUGAUCUUUCUUAUCUUUGGGAAACUAAACAAGAGUCAUUAUUUAUACAUUUUUUCUGUCAGUAAAAGCGAUUACAGGGUACAAAUUAAUUAAUAAGUACCAAAUCAAAUAAAAUGAAAAAAAGAAAAAAAAAUCUGAAUUAAGUGGCUCGAGUGUUGCCAAUUUUACGUCAGGUACGUAGAAUGAAUGCCAUGCAUGAUGCAUGCAUGUAAGUUGUAACGAAACCCAUAUUAAUUCGUUAGCUUUAUGAUUCUCAUUAAUUUAUGCAUGGACAAAUUAUUAUUAUUAUUAUUAUUAUUAUUAUUAUUAUUAUUAUCAUCAUCAUCAAAAUAAAAAAAAAAAAGGACACCAUGCAGAAAACUUUAAUCCGCUUCCACAGGGCGAUCCUACAAUCUCUCUCCACCCCUCUUAUCUCGUAUAAAAAAUGAAGCUCCUCAUAUUUCCGUUUCCUUUCUCUCUUCUUAUUUUCUCUCUCAACCUUAAAUCUUCGCGUACAACUAUAUAAACAUAAAAAAAUAAUAAUAUAUUAAUAUUAUAGUAUAGAAAGGGGCCGGGGUUGAAGAUGGCGGGGGCGGCGGAGUUGUCGGCGGAGGUGAUGGAGAGGAUCUUCAAGCGGUUCGACGGGAACGGGGACGGAAAGAUAUCGUUGGCGGAGUUGGGGGAGGCGCUGAGCGCUCUGGGGUCGACGUCGGCCGACGAGAUCCAGCACAUGAUGGCCGAGAUCGACACCGACGGUGACGGAUACAUCGAUUUCGCCGAGUUCACCGCAUUUUGCCGCGCCAACUCCGGCCUCAUGAAGGACGUCGCCAAGGUCUUCUAAGCCUCUCCUUGAAUAGUGUGUCGUACGUUGCACCACAAAUUGUUACAUCUAUAUAUAAUUUUUUUUCAAAUUUUUUAUCUUAUUUUCUCUGCAUUUUUAAAAAAAAUGGUUGAAGAGAGUAACAUGAAUUGAAGGAACUAGUCAUAAACGUUAGAGUGAUGUGGAAAGUAUUCAGAGAUUCACCUUUUAUUAUUUGUUAUUAAUUAUUAAUUAUUAACUGUAUAAGUGACAAAAAUUGAUGUGAAAACAGAAAUAUAUAUUUGUCUUAUUUUAUAAUUUUAUUUACGUGGUAUGAAAUGUUGGGCCUGCCCAUGUCCAACCCGAAUUUGGUGGACUAAGCGGGCCCAACAUUUUCGUUCCGGAUCCGGGCAAAAUUGAUCCAUUAAUCCGUUUUGUAUUUGGGCUUUAUCCAAUUUGGGUUUAUUGGGUCAGAAAUACAGACAAUUUUAUAAGAAUAAAAUGAAUAUUUAAUUAGUUUCGAAAAUCUACUCUUCAUAGUUAUAUAUAUUUGGUUAUUAAACAAUAAUGUUUUUAUCACCACUGUCUAUUGCGGUUGGUCGGGACCCUGGGUCAUCGAUCAAGCAUUUGGGUUCGAUUUAAAAUCUUUAAGUAAGGUAUUAAUAUAUUCUCGAUUAAUUUUUGUAGAUUUUUUCAUCUCUCAAACAAUCUUAUCAACUGCAAAGGAAAAGAUAUAUUCAUAUAAACCAGCAGGUGCAAUAAUAUUUAAGCAUAUGCAUGACAAUUAAUAAUUUCCUCAUUCCAGUGAAUCAGAUUCAAAGGGAGCCACCACAAGGCCAUAACCCCAAAUGGGUACGGGUCCAUAUAUUGCUGGAUCCCAACUUGACUAAACAAGCCCUUGCCACAAAAUGGUCCUGUUAAAAUGUUACCCACCAAGGGGUUGGUAUCAUUCUCCCAGUUGAACACUUUGGAGAGAGAGAUCUUUGAUGAGGACCAACAAGGAAUCUUAGCUUGAGAUGGGACUUUAACCCCAACAAGUGGAAUCAAAACUUAUUGCCCAAAUCUGGUGUACAUGUACAAAGUAUAUUUCAUGCACCACACCCUUAAUUAAGAUCCUAUACUAAAUGCCUCAAGAAUCAAACUUAUAAUCUAGUUCAUUGAAUCGUAUUGUUGGUCAUUGUAGAUAUUUUAGAUCACAUCUAUGAGAUUAAAUUACAAAUUAUCCGUGGUGCACGCACCAAAUGUAAGCAAUAAUUUCUCCAUGUAGAUAGAUUCUAGAUGCAAUAUGAUCUUUCCUCUCUCUCUCUCUCUCUCUCUCUCUCUUUCUCAUCAAUCCCCUCUAUUGCGAUAUACCAACUUUUUCUAUCACUUGGUGAGUUGGUGGUGGGGAGAAAUGGAUGGAUAUCAUGUGUAGCAUAUAUAUCCCUUUGCGGGACAAAAAUAAAGGUCGAAGCACUACAGUGGCUUUUGUGAUCAAGUGUGUGGUCACUUUAAUUGCUACGACCUUUGACCCUUGGGCUUAUGAUUUGAAGGCGUUUGGACGCACGAGGGGAACGUAACUUGGUUGGGUUCAAUUAAUGGGCGUGGAAAAGGAAUGGUCCAAGGAAUCGUAGUUGGUUUGUUAUACGUAACUUGGACUAUUUCGUAGUGUUGUCUCCUGAAGAGUGAUGUGAAUGGAAGCAACUUGAGCAUCGGUUGGUUAUGUAUUUCUAUGAGAUUAUGGUAGUUUCUUUCUCUCAAUUAUUCGUAUGGUAUACGUGCUCUAAAAGGUUAGGAUGGAGCGCGCACGAUGGAGCCACGAGAGGGAUUGUUGCUUAAUCUAACAAAAAAUUAUGAUAUGACAAGGGUAAGGUUUCACGUGAAAAGUUUAAAUUCAGUCCCUUGUUUGAUUUGGACAUCACAUUAUCAAAGUAUCACGCGGAAUCCCAUUACCUGAUGCUUUCUUCAGAUACAUGAAGUUUUGGGCUACCGUAAGACAAUUUUUUUUUUAAUUCUUCAUUCAAAAAAAGCAGAAAAAAGAAGAAGUCCCAACCAAGGGAUUAGUCUCAUAGUGAUGAGCUGCGUCGUUACCGGAUUUCUCUUUUUAGCAACUUAAUGGAGACAGCGCGCCAACCACUACAUAAAUAUAGCAUGGUAAUAGAUAUUCGAAUAGCGGAUCUUGAUGUCAUGAGUCUAAGCCACUACAUGUGCUUCUCAUUAGAGACUCUGUGUCCUUGACUUCAGAAUCUAAAUAUAUGGACUCUUAAUUAGGAUAGAGUUGCAACUGCAAGUAUAUAUAUAUAUAUAUAGUUUGGUUACUAUACUCUUAUGAGUAUAAAUCAAUUUGUACUCAUAAUUUUUCGAUCGUUAGAUCUACUCUUUUGAUUAUUUCUACUUGUUAGAUUAUACUAUUCAACCAACUACCCACUCAAUUCUAGACAAUUACUAUCAUCCUAACCGCACGUCCCUUCAUCCAACAAUUAAAAAUUUAUGAGUACAAAAAAGUCUAUAUACUUAUAAAGUAUAGUAACCCUAGUCUAUAUAUAACUUUUUACUUCAAUUUUGAGUGAUAGAACGGAUCUUAAGUACUUCUUUCUUCCUGCAACCAGUUGAUCAACCUGUUCAACAGGUUAUAAUUAAUUUGUGCAUGUUUGUUUAGUAUCAGGCCCUAAGAUAAAUAAGGCCAAACUUGCUUCACGGCGGGUUCAUCUGUUUGAUUGGCUAGUCCACUACAAUCAAUUCAGCUUAAAAUUACAAAUUGUAUAUUACUUUACAUUUUUUUUGGAGAAAGAAAGAUAACAUGUUACCCGCUUCGUCUAUUUUUUAAAAAUAAAUUUAGUUAAAAAUAUAAAUCAAGUAGAAUUCGAACUUAGAAUCUCAGAUACCAACUACCAAACUCUUUGUAACUUAUUUUUUUUUUAUAUUUAUCCAUUUGUACACCCAACGGAAGCGUAUAUACACAUAUGUAUGUAUGUUUAUAUGUAUGUACAAUGUACAGCAUGGCGCGCGGUGAUAUAUUUUAGAUGUAAACUAACAAGAAUCAUCGAAUAUUGUGAUCAGUACACGAUAGCUAAAUACUGAUCAUAUAGUAGCAUCAUCACCCAUGCAUCCUUUAGACCUUGAAGUGAGAGGCGCAGUACAUUGACGCGGCAACCACUGUCCCCUUCUAAGCCGAUGCAAUAAUAAAUGGCCAAAAUGAGCUGGUCGAUUGAUCGUAGAGUACCGAGCAAACACGCAUGGUUUGUGUACGUUCGCACUUAAUUUGCUGCGUUGUUUUGGAGCCACAUAUAUAUAUAUAUAUACACACACGCGCGCGCAGAUACGCCCAAGAGCACGAGACGUGCCUUUAACAUUUUCUGCAAUUACCGACUGUCUCUAACGCAAGAGAUCAUAAAAGACUUAAUAAUUAAUAACAGGUUGAGAUUUCAAAUUUAAAUUUUAAUUAAUUUAUUUUUUAAAAAAUAAAUUAAAUAAAUAAUAUGUUAUUUUUCUGUCUCAAAAAGAGAACCGAACAUUUCGGGAGAUUUAGUUUCCCACCGGGCUCAAACUGAGAGAGAGAGAGAGAGAGAGAGAGAGAGAGAGGAACAUGCACUGCUGUUGCUUUUUCAUGGAUGCAUGCGAGUAUGCGACACCCCCAUCGAACCUCCCUCUCCUCGGGAUCAAGCAUGCCGUGAGGGGACAGGGAUGAGGUCGCAUGCGGAGAUUUCAUGCACACCUGCCUACACCUUGUUCACCACUUCAUCCAAGAGUUUCACUCAAAUCACAAAAUAUUUGAGUGUAAAUUUUUGAGCCAUAUAAUAAUAAAGUAAAAAUAAGCCCGGAGGUAAAACUUCUUCUUGUAAUUAUUAUGGUUUAGAAUCUCAUUCUUUUGAUUUUCGUUGCAACAUAAGCUUCGAUUUUUCCCUCACCAAAUACUAGUGUUCAAAGAGGAUAGAAUUAGACGCACGACGAAAUAUGCAUACCCUCGGUAUCUUUUAGAUGCUACAGAUUAUAAGCAUCGGAUGAUUAAAAAUUUACAAGUUUUACGAUCUCCAUGAAAGAGUUUUGGAAAGAACAAUCUGCAGUGGACUAGGUGCAGGCAAUAGUUUCUUAGAAGAAUAAAAAGGGAGGGGUGAGAGAAGAAUCUGUUCUUGGCCUUGGCUGAAGAGCCGGCCAAGCAGAAAAGUGACCAAGGGAUCUACAGCCUGCAUCCUCUUUUCCCCACAUUGAGAUCUGCAUUUACAGCUACUUAAUUGUAUGGUAUCCUCUUAACAUAUGGUUGUUGACAAAAAAAAAUUUCUUCUUCUUUUUCACUUGGAUGUUUUGUAUAAAUUCGGCUACUUAAAUUUACUAGUAAAUUAGAACAGCCAAUAUACUCUUCAUAAAUAUAGAAAUUUUUGUUUUUUUUUUUUUAUAAAAUAAAUGCAUUGAAUCUGAUCGAUUCAUCGAAUCUAUACCUAAUCGAUCUAUGUGUAACAAUAUUUUUCUGUAAAUAACACAUAUUGGCUCUUAAGAACUAUGUAUUUGCACUCAAAUCGCCUCUUCAUCACUUCUACGUCACAAGGCAUUAUGAGAAUUUUGAUGUUAAGUUAUUGGGGGGAUUAAUCAAGCAUUAAAACCUCAACUUUAUUUCUUUCUCAAUCUUUUUAUUCUUUGAUUUCCAUAAUGAUGCAAGUGACGGAUCUUAUUGAUUCAAUAUUUGAUCCUUCGUUUUGGAGAAAUAUAUAUAUAUCUUUUUAGCUCCUCAUGGUAACAGUAUGAGGAACAUUCACGGCAUAAAGAAAAGCUAUAUACAUCCACAGAUAUUAAAAAAAAGGGGCAAUUGCCUAUAUACCCUUGAAAAGUUUCCGGUUUUUUUAUUUAUCCCUCUUAGAAGGCUAAUAUUGAAAAUACCCUUCUUAUGUUCCAAGUCUUUCUAAUAUACCCCUGGAGUUAAGUUCCGUCAGUUAGCUGCUGUUAUCUCUGAAAAAUUACCAUUUUGCCCAUUCCAAUAUACCCUCGUACCGUAACUCACUUAUCUUAUAUACCCUUCAUAUACAAAAUAUUUUUCUUAUUUGCUCUUUAAAUAUCAAUUAAUUAAUUAAGCACGUUGGGAGCGAGCAAAUGAACGGAUGAGAUUGAUCGCAGCUAAACCAAUCUUAGUGGCGCGAGCAAAUGAACGGAUGAGAUCGAUCGCAGCUAAACCAAUCUUAGUGGCUGGAGGCAUAGUUAGUUAAUUCGGAUUCGGCAAAAAUUCAGUACAGAUAUAAUUCGAAUAAAAUUCGUCUUUUAAUUUUUAAAUUCGUUGAAAAAUACGGCUAAAAAAUAGAUUCGACAGUUAUUCGAAUACGUAAUAUAUACGGGUAUUAUACGUUCACCAAUUAAAGAUUCCAGAUCAAAAAUUCGGCUAUAUAAUAAAUAUAUAAUAAUUAAUAUACUAUAUAUAUUAUUAUUAUAAUUUUUAUAUAUAUAUUAAAUAUAUAUAUUUAAAAUUAUAAUAAAUAUAUAUUAAUAAUAUAUAAGAGUUAUAUAUUUAAAAAUAUUAAUAAACUUAGAUUUGUGCAGAUCAAAGGACUAAUUUAUUCCAAUUAAUCUCAGAUAUUAACUAUUCCACCCUAAUUAACUCUCCCAAUUAACUCUUCCACCCUAAUUAACUCUUCCAAUUAACUCUUCCACCAUAAUUAACUCUCUCAAUUAACUCUCCCAAUUAACUCUCCCAAUUGACCCUCGUACAGCACCCCUCCUCGUCCCCUUCCUCCGGCACCGACAGCACCCACCUCGACCACCGUCGCCACUCCAAACCUCGAGGGUGGCGACCCAUGAGGCAAUAUUGGUGAUCGGAGCUGCUGUUCCCGACAGAGGCAGAGACGAAGAACGGGUUUCUCAGCAACGAAGAAGGCGUCCACGGCGAUGGUGUCGAGGUGGAAGGCACGAUGAUGCUACCGGUGGUGAGGGAGACGAUGUCGACCCACUCACAGCGAUGUCGAAUGUGACGAGAAGGAGGAGGAGGAGGACAACGAGAUCUGCACGAAUCGUUGCGGCCCUCUUGCUCCCGGCGCCGGCAAAGGCGGCGGCGGAGGAGGAGGACGAUGAGAGCGGCGACUCGCGGGCCUUUUUUUUGUGCGAAUGAGGCGAGGCUUCUUGGGGACGAAGGUGGAGGCGGAGGAGCCGGCGCCGAGGUUGGCGGUGGCGGUGGCGGUGAGCUGCUGGCGCUCGCGGCGGCGGGCGGCGGGCGGUGAGCGGCGGACUUGAUCGAGAGUAAUAAUGUUAAGUUGGAAGAGAAAGAAAGGAUAAUUUAAGGAAAUAGUUUAAUAAGAUAGGGGUAAAAUAGGUAUUUUAAUUAGGUUUUAACUCUGGAAUACAUUUAACUCAUGUUUAACCCGAGUUAGUUUAACAGGGGAUAACUGCGGGGGUAUUUUGGAAUAACGGUGGAACAUAUGAGGGGUAUUUUAGAAAGAAAAAAAAAAGUAGGGGUAAAUCGGAUAUAUUCAAACGCAUGAAGGGUAUAUUGGCAAUUAUCCCUAAAAAAAAAAAGGGACAGUCACAUGUUAGGCUUAACCCUAGCAUUGUACCAAGAGAUCAACAAAAAACAUUCCUCAUAUCUCUUAGUUGUCAUUCCGUUUUGCUAUUGAAUCCACUUUAGUGUUAAUUAUAUAAUAAAAUCUGACAAAAACCACUGUUACCACUAUUAAUCGACAUAGUAAAAUAAUUUGAUGUGACCAAGAUCCAUGUUAAUUAAUAACAGACGAAAAGAUAAGAAUCCGAUUGGGACCAUGCACCCCGAAUUGGCCUAAUCAACCACCAACAUGAACCAUCAGUGAUAGAGAUUAAUUAAAUCGGUCCCAAGAGGCUUUUAGAGACACAUCAACUCACUGUAUUAAGUGCUUUUGCUUAAUCAAAGAACCAAAAAACAAAAAAAAAAAAAGCAGUGUCCAAGAUGUGAAAAGCACAAGCACUGUAGCAUCAAAACCAUGUGAUAGCCCUCGAUCACUAAACAAUUACUUUCAUGUGGAUACAAAUGUAUAGACGUACGCUUAUUGGAAAGGUCCCAACACUUAACAUUAGACAAUAGAGAACACAAAAAAGAAAAGCUUUGGAAGGAAUGCUUUCAUGAACUAGCGUGGGACAGGAGGUGGUGGUGAUGUUAGUGGUCUUGCUUUGUGAAUAAUGUUAUAUGUAUCUAGCUUAUAAUGUUUCUCAUAAUUAACAUUGCUAAUUAAUGAAUCAACUUUUAACAAUUCAUUUGUAUAUAUAUAUAUAUAUUUAUAGAGUAAGUCUCGUGUACUUUCAAAAGUACAAAGAUCUCCGUGCUUGUAAGUUGUUUUCGAUGAUAGGAAAUCCGAUUCGACGAUCGGCUCCGUUAAAUAUAAUCUAUCUUAUUGGAACUAUUUAGAAACCAAAUUUUAUAACUUUUUGAUAUCAUUUACCAAGCGAUCAAAAUGUCUCAAAAAUGACGAUUUUAAUGGCCGAUGUGGCACGUUUUUAAGUUCAACGGUAUACAUAGAAGUAUCCAAAUUAGAUGAAAAUUUAAUAGAAAAUUCUACUUAACAUCAAUAGUAAGACCAAUACUUGCGAUUUGAAAUUUGAGUCCUUUAUCAUUGUUUUUUAUGAGAUUUUCAUUUUCAGCCGUUCAUUUUGAGGCUACUCGUUUACUAGACAAACGAAAUCAAAAAAUUAUGAAAUUUGGUUUCUAGGUAGUUCCAACAGUGUAGAUCAUGUCUAAUAGAACCGAUCGCCAAAUCGGAUGUCCCAUUAUUAAAAACAACUUACAAAUACGGAGGCUCCCGUACUUUCGAAAGCAUAAGAGCCUGGCUAUAUAUAUAUAUAUAUAUAUAUAUAAACUUAACUAAAAUAUAAAAUACUAUAGCUUCAAAUUGUAGAAUCUCGAAUGCCAGACCAUUAAAUUCUUAGUAUCUAUACUAAGUACGAUCGGAUUUUUUUGUUGCUAGUAUUUUUAUGGCAUAGAUGAUUUAUAUAGCAUUUCAAGCUGAACGUUUCAGUACGCGCUGACUAUAAAUAAUAUACAAUAAACUUUUUAAAAACUUUAUGUAUUUGAAAUUAUUAUGCAGUGCAUUUUACUCCUGCAUACCACCGCCCUAGAGCAAGUGGCUAAAAAGGCUUAUGUUGCUACCCAGACACAUAAGUGUCGUGACUGAUUGAUUCAUUUCCGUCGGCCUUAAGUUUAAUUUCUAAAUGAAAUAAACCGAAGCGGGGGUAGCGUGCUACUAUCCUUCUCAAAAAAAAAAUUCUCCUGCAUAAUCCCAUUGGCGUGCUAUUAAUUGGAUCACUAUUACUACAAUACAAUUUCAAACUCAAAUAAUUUAAGAACAAGCUUAUUGUUAUCGAAAAUCCGGUUCAAGUUAAAAAUUCUUAGUCUAAGAUAUAUUAUACUAUAUAUAUAUAUAUAUAUUAGCUUAUAAUUAUAUAUUUAUAAGUGUUGAAUUAAUCAAAGUUGUACAACUAGUUGGGAUAGAAAUUAAUAAGUGUGAUAAGUAUAUUGAUUAUCUUCUUUGGAUAUUUUGUAAAUGAUGGUUGUCGCGAUAGAGGCGAGCAACUUGUCCUUUAAAGGAGAAGAGGUUCGGCACCUGAAAACGCCUGAGUGAGAAUUAGAGGAGAUAUAUAUUUUUUUUUAAAAAAAAAGAAAUAAAAAGAAAAAGAGUAAAUAAAGAAGAGCGGCCACGCUUGAAAAGGAUGCUUUAUUUUUUGGGGAGUGGAAGAGCAGUGGAAACAUUAGAUUAAAAAAUAUAACAUAUAUAUAUAUAUAUAUAUAUAUAUAUAUAUAUAUAUAUAUAUAUAUAUAAUAUAUGGAGAGGUAGUGGAAACAUUAAUUAUUUCAUUAGAUUAAAUUAUAUAUAUAUAGUAUAUUAUAUAUUAAUUAUAUAUAUAUAUAUGUGAGACUACUAUGCUAUCGAAAGUAUGGAGCCUUUCGUGCUUCUAGCUCGUUUCGAUGUUGCGAUUUUCGAAUCGUGAUCGGCUCUGUUAAACUUGAUCUAGAAGUAUUUGAGUACAUAGAAAAUAAAUUUUUUAUUUUUCGAUAUCAUUUGCCUAGUGAUCGAAUGGGCUCAAAAUCAACAAAUUUCAAUGGCCGUAGUGAGCGCUUUGCAAGUUUAACGGUGUAAAAAUAUUCAAAUCAGCGUGAAAUUUUGAUGAAAAUUUUUUAUACUAUAUAAAACAAGAUCAAUAUCCUUGAUUUAAAAUUUUAAUGUCAUAUUAUUACAUUUUGUAGAUUUUUAUUUUCAGCGUUGAUUUUGAGCCUUCGUUCAUUAGGCAAAUGAUAUCGUAAAAUCAUAAAAUUAUUUUCUAGGUACUUCAAAUACUCUAGAUCAACUCUAACGGAUAUAUAUAUAUAUAUAUAUAUAUAUAUAAUAUAUAUAUAUAUUAGUUGCGGCUAGGAUGCUUAUGGAAGCACGGAGGGCUCCGUGCUUUCAUUUUGUUUUCGAUGUUCGACUUUCGAAUCGACGAUCGGCUCCGUUAGAGUUGAUUUAGAGUAUUUGAAUACCUAGAAAAUAAAUUUGUGAUUUUCGAUAUCAUUUGACUAGUGACGAAGGGGCUCAAAAUCAAUAAUUUUAAUGGCCGUAGUGAGCCGGUUGCAAGUUUAACGUGUAUAGAAUAUUCAAAUUACUGAAAUUUUGAUGAAAAUUCUUUAUACCAUAUAAAACAGAUCAAUAAUUUUUAUCUAAAAUUUUAAUUCAUUUCAUCAUAUUUUGUAAGAUUUUUAUUUUCAGCCAUUGAUUUGAGCCACUUCGAUCAUUAGCAAAUGAUAAUCGAAAAAUCGCUAAAUUUAUUUCUAGAUACUUCAAAUACUCUAGAUCACUCUAACGGAGCCGAUCGUCGGUUCGAAAGUCCGACAUCGAAAAUAACUUAGAAGCACGAGGACUCCGUGCUAUCAUAAACAUACUAGUCCACUAUAUAUAUAUAUAUAUAUAUAUAUAUUAUAAUAUAUAUAUAUAUAUAUAUAUAUAGCUCGCAACGGACUAAAAUAAAUGCUUCACUCUAUAUUUUAGGAGCUUGUGAAAGUUUUUAGACCAAAAGACAAUUCUUUUGGUAAUAGUAGAAAAAGAGAACAAAUAUUAUAAAAAUAUCGAGCUCGGUAAUUCAAUAGUAAAGUGUGUUGACACUAUUACUAGUCAAAAAAAAAAAAAAGACUAAAAUUGAGUACAUUAACUAAUUACAGAUAGUUAAUUGCAUUAAAGUAACAUAUGAAUGCUUGUUUUUUUCUCUCUCCAAAGAAAAUGCAAUUAAUAGAGUACUCCUAGUAAUUAACUUGAUCUCUUUGUAGCUCUUUGGCGAGUUAUGUAGAUAAUUUUGCAAAUAUAUUUUUAAAAAAGUAUUUUUGCACUGAUGUUAAUGGUCACUUGGAAUUCUUGUUAAGUUUUUCUUUUUUUAAAAAAUAAUUUGAUGGUGUUUAGUCGUCUUCAAUGCACGUGCCUAUCAUUUCACAUGGACCAUAAAACAUAAACCAAAUCAAAAUACCACAUAAGCUAAACAACACCAACAUUCGACAAACCAAUUAAUUAAGAUCCAUCAUCAAAAAAUAUUAUUUCACAUUUUAACAGUUUGGCUCAACUUUAGCAUUUACUUUUAGCUUAUGUAAACACUGGUAGUGUAUUUGACAGAUAGAGAAAGAUAAACCUUUUGUUAUGGAGUGAAGCAUAGAAAUAAUAUUGUUGAGUCUAAAAAUAGAGUUCAAUUUGAUAUUUUUAGUUUUGUUCCAUAUAGAAUGAAAAUUUUGGAGGUGAUAAUAUAGGAGUCCAGCUUCUAUUCUCUUAAUAUGAUAAAAGUUUUUGUUCUAUCAAGUUCUUUUGUUUAAUCGAGACUCUAAAUUGAGAAUUGACACUGUUGCAAUUGAUCUACACUAUUAGAAACAUUUAGAAAUUUUGAAUUUUGUAAUUUUGAAAAAGUCCAUCAAAGAGUCAAAAAAUGAACAGUAAAAAAUAAAUAAUUUUUUAAAAAUAAAGGCUAGACUUUUUAAUUCAUGAUCAGAAUUAUCAAACGUUAUCUACGUAGUAUAAAAAAAUUUCUAUUAAAAAUUCAAGUAAUUUGAAUUGCUCUAUACCGUUAAACAAGCAAAAAGCUCAUAUGGGCCAUUAAAAACUAUAAAUUUUGCAAUCAUUUAUAUUAAAAAUUCAAGCGAUUUGAAUUGCCCUACGUGCGAGUGUACAUUGGAACCUAAUAAAAAAUUCAAAAUCAACAACAAUAUAUAUAUAUAUAUAUAUAUAUAUAGAGAGAGAGAGAGAGAGAGAGAGGCUGGUAUGCUUCUGAAAGUCCAAAUUGUUUUUAAUUUGAUCUAGAGUAUUUGAAAUAUAUAGAAAAUAAAUUUUAUGAUUUUUUAAUAUUACUUGCCUAGUGAUCGAAGGGUUAAAAAUCAAUAAUUUUAAUGACCGUGACGAACUGUUUGCAAGUUUAACGGUAUAAAAAUAUUCAAAUCGCGUGAAAUUUUGAUAGAAAAUUUUCUAUACUAUAUAAAACAAGAUCAAUAUAUUUGAUCUAAAAUUUUAACUUUAUAUCAUCACAUUUUAUAAAAUUUUUAUUUUCAGCUAUUGAUUUUGAUCUAUUUCGAUUACUAGGCAGAUGAUAUCAAAAAAUCACAAAAUUUAUUUUUUAAGUACUUCAAAUAUUUUAGAUUGAGUUUAACGGAACCAAUCGUCGAUUCGAAAGUUUCAACAUCGAAAACGAUUUGAAAAUACGAAAGGCUCCAUGCAAGUAUACCAGCCACACUUUAUAUAUAUAUAUUGCCGUCACUGGAUGUUUAAGCACAUCUCACACACCGUCCUCGAUAAAUACCAUGAUAGUGGUUGAAUAAUUGACGCCUAUUUACUCACUAAUACGUACAAAAAACAAUAGAAUUUUCAAACUAAAACUCUAAAUCACAUCUAUCUAUUGCCGAAAAUUAGAUGCGAAUCGUGAGGCAUUCGGACACACCGGGUGCAGGUAUUUCUCAGAAGGCUAAAUUAAACUUUUGUUUCUCAAACUACGGCGCAUGCUAUUUUGGCCUUUUUGGUUCGAGUUUUUUAAAUUAUUAUAAUUAAAUUUCAUAGUCUAACUUAGUUAACUAGAUAUUAAUAUAUCGAAAAAUAAAAAUAAUGAAAUAGUAUUGUGAUUAAUGAUAUGACAAUAAUUCAGGUAUCACAUUACUUCUACCGUUGCUGACUUUGUCUUCCUUUUAUUUUUUCACUUGUAUAACUUAAUUAUAAUAAUAAUAAAAUUUGAAUAAAAAAUUAUUAUAAAUAAAAAAUUGAGUAUUAUAAUAUCACCUCUCUUGUAGUGUAAUGUGUGAGGAUCAAAAGUAUAGCUUAGCCUUCUGUAGAAAGAACUGGGACUCACUCGACCCCCUCGUCCGUCCUAUCUAUAAUACCCAUCUCGCUUCAUUUAUAUUAUUUAAAAAUAAAUUUAAUUAAAAAUAUAAAUCAAUUAAAAUUAGUAUUUAAGAUUUUAAAUAUCAAUCAUCAAAUUUUUUAUCACCUGCACUAAGUACGAUCGUUAUACCUCAAUUAUUUAUGAUCUUACAUUUGUAGUGCCACAUUGGCGCCAAAUUAAUGGACCUGGUCAGGAUCAGCAUUCCCCGCCGAUUCGCUUUCCUAGUGCGCUCGAGGUUGUCGUGUCCGACCCAAUAAAGAGACCCCACCACAUUCGUACCCACGCCCCAUCACCCUCCAUCUUGUCAUAUCCCUACUUACAUGUCCACCACCCACACAUCGAUUUAAGGUUAAAAUUGUAAUUCAAAAAUGAAAACUGUUUUUUUUUUUUGAAAAAAAAAAACCUCCAAAACCUUUUUAAUUACAGGCCAUUUUAGAAAAAGUAUUGCCACAAAUUAAUUUCUCUAAAUGUUGACUCUUCUCGAUUGCUGACGUGUUAAAAAUAUACAUAGUAUAAGAGGUUUCAAAUUAUUAUUUUUUUAAAUAAUAAAGUUUGCUUGUUGAUUCUCACCAAAUGAUCAAUCAAAUUAAGUAAUUACACUCACUCACAUAGUCACAUUCUCUCUUGUAAGGGGUCAUCAAUUAAUAAACUAUGAUAUCCAUUAGAGAGAAUAAGGAGGGGUAAUUAAACUAAAUUAAAUCAGCAACAGCUGAGACAUAAUCGAACAUUCUACAGAAAGUGACAAAAAGUUUGAUGAUUGAUACUCGAGCUUCCAAAUUUGAAUUCUAAUUAAUUUACAUUUCAAACUAAGUGUAUUCCUAAAUGAAAUAAACAAAAAUUACCUUAUCUCUCUAANAAAAAAAAAAAAAACACAGCUGAGACAUAAUAACGUCUUAUUCAGAGAUUGCUCGUGGGGGCUACUGCUACUCCCCAGUCCCCUCCUCCUCACUCGUAUUUAGACCCCCCCACCACUCCUCACUUCACCACCACCACCACCACCCUCUCACCACCUUAAUCACUCAAUAUCACUCUCCUUUCAUAAGUUAAAGGAGGAAUAUAUAUAAAAAUAUAUACACGCGCGCGUGUGUGUGUAUACAUAUAUACUGACUAGGUGGUGUUAGCUGCAGCAGCGGCGGCGGUCGGUAAGAAAUGGCGGAUGCGAAUGCGAAGCAGAUAUGCGGCGUGCCGGAGAGGGUCCAGCUGCAUGUGGCCAUGCUGGCCCUCCAGUUCGGCUACGCUGGCUUCCACAUCGUGUCGCGGCUCGCGCUCAACAUGGGGAUCAGCAAGGUCGUGUUCCCGGUCUACCGGAACAUCAUCGCCUUGAUCCUCCUCAUUCCCUUCGCAUAUUUCCUCGAAAAGUACGAUCACUUUUUUUUGAGAGAUACAUAGCGUGCUACUGAGAAAUAGGAAUUAAUUAAAAUUCGAAUUUGGAAUCUCGAAUAUCAACUAUCAAAUAUUUUGUCACUUGCUUGGCGCUAGAGCUGAUCGAUAGUACAAUUACUUUCUGAUCACUGAUCACUGCAUGUACAGUAACGUACAAAUUAGUAAACAACAAGCAAAUUCAACGAAUGUAUAUAUACGCGUGACAAAAAUAUAGUUUCAUUUUAUUUUUUCUUUCAUGCAAAAAAAAAAAUGAAGUAAUAAUUCAUUAAUUACAUGUUCAAUUUAUUUUUGUAGGAAGGACAGGCCCGCCAUCACACUUAACUUCCUCGUUCAAUUCUUCCUGCUUGCGCUCUGCGGGUAAUUAAUUAAUUAACAUAUAUUUGGCACUAAUUACUCAGAUUGAUUUGAGAAUUUUAAUCUUCGUAUUUAUGUACGCAACAUAUAUAGUAUAACUGCGAACCAAGGAUUCUACUUACUGGGUUUGGACAACACUUCCCCGACCUUCGCAUCCGCGAUCCAAAACUCCGUCCCCGCCAUCACCUUCCUCAUGGCCGCUGCUCUGAGGUGACUGUUUUGCUUUAAAAGUUUAAACUAUCAGAGAACAGUAUUUUAAUUAACCUUUUUUCCGCCGCAGGAUCGAGAAGGUGCGUCUCGACCGCCGCGAUGGCAUCGCGAAGCUCGUGGGCACGCUGGCCUGCGUCGCGGGCGCGUCGGUGAUAACCCUCUACAAAGGCCCGACCAUAUUCACGCCCUCGCACAACGUAAACAGCAACAACGCCGUCGCCGCCGCCGCUGUCGAAGCGUCGGAAAAGGCGCUCCUGUGGGUGAACGAUCCCAAGGGGAAGAACUGGACGCUGGGGUGCUUGUACCUGAUCGGGCACUGCUUGUCGUGGUCGGGGUGGCUGGUGCUGCAAGCCCCCGUGCUGAAGAAGUACCCGGCGCGGCUCUCCGUCACGUCGUAUACGUGCUUCUUCGGCGUGAUACAGUUUCUGAUCAUUGCGGCGUUCAUCGAGAGAGACGCAGAGGCUUGGAUUUUCCACUCCGGCUCGGAGCUCUUCACUAUCCUCUAUGCGGUAAUAAGAGUUUUACUUGGUGUGUUUAUGUUACGUACCUGCAUGCUAGUAGUGCUUCAUGGCACAGAAGUUUUAACUUAAACUUUUUAAUUCACAAAUAAGAAUUAAUAUAGUAGUGCUUCUUCUAAUAGCACUAUUCUAAUUGCAUUUUACUCGGCCUUUUAGCAAUAUUGUUAAAUAAUUCCUUACAUAGCAGAAGUAAAAGUGAAAAGUGAAAAGUGAAGCUUAAAUGAUUAUUUGACAACCUAUUCUGAACGAGAAAAAUUUUAAAAAGAAAAUUUCUAAAUGCUCCUGGUUUUACUAUUUGGAAGCAGAAAAAAUAUUUGAAAAAAAACAGAUACAGUUAUUUCUGAGCAUAACUAAUUGCGAUCUCAUUAUGACGUGUCUAAGCUUAUAAUAUGCAGUGCUAUGAUCGGUCACAACAGCCUAAAAGUAUGCACCAACUCCAAAGGUUUCUGAAAUGGAUAUUUAGUUAAGGAAUGUCCGUAGUGAGUUGUGUUAUCUUUUUCACCUUUUUUUUUGACCCAUAUGGUGAUGGCAUAGAUGGAAAUGGACCAAACAAAUUAAAUAAAUAAUAUAUAGAAAGUUGGUGUGGCAAUUGUAUCCUUCUUUGGAAGGAGGAAAGAGAAAGAAGGGAGAGAGAGUGAGAGAGAGCUACAGGAAGUGCUCCUUUGCUUUGCUUCUCUACUUGGUCAGAAGCUUUAAAUGAAUUGGUUAAAGCUACCUUUGGACUUAGCUUUUCCACUUCAGAGGUGUGAAAUCUAAUAUUAAAACAUAUAUGUAGCAUAAAGUUGAAAUUAGUGGUAAACAUAAUGGGAUAAGCCUUUCUUUUAUGCCUUCGCUUUAACUUUAUUCAUAAUAAUACUAGCUAGUUAUAAUUACAAGUAUAAUAAAUUGCAAGGGCUCCAUUAUAUAAUCUUUUGAUGUGCAAAUGACAUCAUUAGAGGAGAAAGGAUUUCCUUUUGGUCAUGCCUACACUGUUUCACCAGAUGAAAAGAGCACCAAAAAAUUCCUCUUCAAAGGGGGCAUGUGCCAGAAUACAUACUCAUUUGUCAUCAUGCUGUACUUGCCAGAGUGUUAUGAUCACAUGGCAGCAACAGCUUCCUUUGAUUCCUCCAUGGAGUACAGCAAAUCUUUCAGGGUGUGCACCCUAGUUAUCUAGUGGAUGAGCAACUUAAUUUGGUCCCCCACAAAACAAAAAAGAAAAGGAAAAAAAAGAAGAAAGAAAUCUUACUUUUUCUAAAGUUAGGUAGAUAGAGCGCAGAAGGAUUUGAGUAGGUCUUGAGUUCGAGUCUCAUUUACAGAAACGAAAAAAAUAGAAAGAAAAAGAAAAACUAGUAGUAACAUAAUGCAUUACUUGCGUCGAGCAUCUUUACUAAGCUCAAAUAUAUAUAUGAACUCAUUUUUUAGGGUUUCAUUGCGUCUGGAGUGGCGUUCGCAGUCCAGAUAUGGUGCAUCGACCGUGGCGGUCCUGUGUUUGUGGCCGUUUAUCAACCCGUCCAGACUCUCGUCGUCGCCAUCAUGGCCUCUAUCGCUCUCGGAGAGCAAUUCUACCUCGGAGGGUACCGAAUCGAAAUAACUAAUCUAACUGCACAUAAAAUAGCAAGCAUGAAAUUUCUAAUUUGCUUCUUUUUGCUAUUGAUCUUUUUGGUGCAGGAUCAUUGGAGCCAUAUUGAUCAUAAUUGGGCUAUACUUGGUUCUCUGGGGCAAAAGUGAGGAGAGGGCAUUUGCUAUAAAAGAGGCAAUAAUUUUGGCUUCCUCAAACAGUGAAGAUAACAGCCAUAGAGCAAGUGCUGUUUCCUUCAAGGCUUCUUCCCUGAAUCAACCACUACUUCCCUCAUCUACCUCGGAAAGCGUGUGACAAGAACUAUAAUUAAUCCCUCUCUUGGAGAUCUAUGUAUGGGCUCAUGUUUAUGUUUACGCAAUAUUUAAUGUUGUGAAGAAGCAAGUUAAGAAUGGGGUUGUAGUGUGUGAGAGCAUAGACUUAGAUUUGUUUACUCAAAAGUUAACUACUACUACUAGGGUUUACUCACUGCAGUUGAUGGGUUGGUGCACAGUGAGUGCUAGAAGGAUUGUGUUGGUAGCUACUAGAUCUUUGUUCAAAAGAAGCUAUGAGGUUUGCAUUUGGUUUGUUAUGUUCUUGUCCUUUUCUCUUCCCAUGCUUGUGAGUGGCAAACUUGCAAAAGAGAAUCAAGCAUCUAUUUUGUCCUUUAGCUUGAUAUAUAUUAUUGAGUGAUUGAUAAGAUAAAAGAGUUACUGGAGAUCUACAUACAUAGAUAGGAAUAUAUAUUUCUACUUGACCAGUCCUCUCAGUUUCUGAAAAUGUUUCUCAGAAUAUUAUUAAUGAUCAUCCUAGCAUAUACAUGCAGAUCAUAGUGAGUAAUUUAGAUUUUUCGAAUUUUUGUGACCAUGUUUUCAUUUCAUUAUAUAUGAUCUCUAUUUAUUUUUGGCACACAAAGAAUAUUAUCUCACUCAUGUAAGUAUAUAUCCUUUUUCACGUCUGAAAUAACCGAACCGCUUAAUUAAUAGCUUCCAUGCAUGUAUAGGAAGCAGAUUUUUCAAAAACAUUCUGCGGAAGUAUGCGAGGCUGGUUGAUUUGUCGACAACAUUAACUUUGAGAUAUAUUAUUGCACAUACAUUACUCUAUGUCGGUUUUUCACUCCGAACACCAUUUUUUCUUAAGAUUGUAAGUGAGGAAAAAGAAAAGAGAGAAAAACAGUCAUAUGCAUUUAGAAGCAUAUAUUUAGAUGGCCCUGUUAAUGAUGAAAGGUGAGAAACACAAUGAAGCAUUAUAUAUCUUAUCUUUCACUAUUAAAUACCUAAUUGGAGGUUCCAAAGUCCCUUUGCAGUCUCUGUCACGCAUGAUCCACUAACUUGUACAAUAUUUGACCUGAACAUGACUUCUUUGUGAAGGCUCUAGAAGACCUUUGAUUCUUUGUUCUUAAUUGUGCCCCACUCAUAUUCCAGAGCAAUCAAAUGCUAUGCUUUCUUUCUUCUUCUUUUGUUUUUUGUUUCUUUAUGCAACUUUACAUAGGGGGGAAAUUUGAGGUGUCAUAUAUGGAGGGGUUAGUUAAUUUUGUGAUCUUAAGAGUGGUAUCAGUCCUCAAAGCUGGUACUUUACUAAUCAAAAUUCUAGUUUAUUAAAGAGGUUUUAAAAAGUGGUGGUGGUGUUUUGGGGUUCAGAAAAUAUUAAUAGUUGAUUUUAAUGCUAUGAUAACUAGAUUGUAUUUUGUGAUAACUAAUGCUUUAUUACCUUCAUGUACACAACAAGAUAAAGGAUAGGACAAAGAAGAGCAGGAGAAAUGUGAAAGUAUCACUGCUUUAGCCUAGCUUGUUGGCUUUAGCUGUUAAAGCUGAGAGGUCUAAUGGAAUAAUCCCAAACAAACUUGACUUGAAUUAGAUCCAAAUCACAAAUCCAGAUACGAGAUUUAGUUUUUUUUUUUUUUUUUUUUUUAGUGAUUGUUUUGUAUGGUAUUAGAGCUGGAGAUUCUGAAUUCUCUAUCAGGUGAAGACCGUUGAGGCUCUCCACGUCUUCAUGUUUUAUCAAGAAAUUCGCCAAAAUCUUUUCCAUUACUUUUUAAAUUCCCUCCAGCAAGGGAUGCUUUGCUUGCUUACAAUUCUAUAAUUUCUGUAUAAUUCAAUUUUUUUUCACUUCAUGAAUCAGGGCUUGAUCCUUAAGAUUCGCAGAUAUUAAAAAAGAAUCAUAAAAAAAAUACUUCCAUUUGAUGUAGUCUUAAUUAACAUGUACAAUUAUGAAUGCUGGUUGAAAUAAUAAGUUUUCAAAUUUAAAAACAAUUCAAAAAAGUUGGGCUUCUUAAGUGAGGCCCAAUUCCAACUUAAAUUUAUGGGCUUCGUGGACCAAGCACCACAGCAGGCCCAUAUUAAUUUAUGGCCCUGGCCCCUUUUGGGAUCACAUGGAGAUUGCGCUACCACAUUCUUUUACAUGCUUUCACUCAAACUCUAUUUUAUUUAUUAGCAUUUAAUAUACAUUCAUUCAUACCAAAUGAGUCUCUCUUCUUGUUUGGAAACAACGAAUGACACGUGUAGCGUGGACCUGGUUCACCAGUAAGCCAAAAGCCAACCCAAGUUUUUAAUCUUAGAGGUCGCAAAAUCUGAAAUAACCAAUGGAUGCAAUCUCUUGUUAUGAAGAAUCUAUCUACAUCUAAAAAAUUAUAAAGUUCAAAAAACCUUGAGGAGUAUGUUUUCUUAUUUUUAGUGGUUAUAGAGUUUCUUUUUUUUUUUUUUGAGAGAGAGAUAGGUAGCACGCUACCCGCUUCGUUUAUUUCAUUUAGAAAUAAACUUAGCUGGAAAUGUGAAUCAACUAGGAUUCAAACUUGGGCCUCGGAUACCAACUACCAAGCCCCUUACCACUUGCUCUAGGGAUGCUCUAGGGAUGGUAGUGGUUAUAGAGUUUCGAGUGUUGAAAGGUUAGUAGUCCACGGUAGACCCGGUCCUGGCAAAUGAAUUUUCCAUAGUCGGAACGUAGGCGGAACGCUCACAGCGGUCUCCAUAUGGAAUGGGUUUUAGUCCCACAUCGACUAGCGAGUGCUCUUUUCAGUCGCCAGGAUGCAUAAGAAGGGUGGGGUGUGGAUCAUUUUUCCAUACUUACCUGGACGGGGUCUAUGGGCGAUCAAGAAGGUCCAUGGCCUAGGCCCGCGGCCCGCAUUGCACUUUGUGGGUGCGCUGGCCUACCAUCUCCCCAAGUGGGAGAGUGGACGUCAUAAUUUGUGGUAGAGGGGGUACGCGCCACGCGCGGCCCCUGCCAAUUCAAAAGAUUUAAAUUUUUUAAAAUUUUAAAGUUUCAAAAGAUUAGAUAGUAUAAUUUAUAAUUUAUUUGAAAUCAUAAAUUAUUUUUAUGAAUGAAUGUUUAUUGUUUAUAAUUUUAGUUGUAUUGUUUAUUUUUUAAUUAAUUUUAAUUCUGGGGAGUAAAUAGUAUAUUUUGAUUUGAUUUUAAAAUUUAAGUGUUUCAGUUUUUGCAUGAAUAAAUUUUAAAGUUAAAAGUA